This 66253-nucleotide long non-coding RNA is filed under the name Triticum aestivum (bread wheat). Its description in RNAcentral is "long non-coding RNA (TAES_LNC028382)". Lineage: Eukaryota; Viridiplantae; Streptophyta; Magnoliopsida; Poales; Poaceae. The record is from RNAcentral.
AGUAUUAAGGUAAACCUAACCAUAGCAUGAAACAUUGACACGGCACAUUAUAAAGAGUUCAAUCCAAAUUUUAUAGUAACACUAUUAUAUUUAAAUAGUGAUUAUUCUAACACAUGGAUAAUUAAUUAAGGCACCAGGUUGCGCUUGUGACCAGGAAAGACAAACUUAUGAACUUGCAAGCAUGGUAAUCAGAUCGACAUCCACACAAUGUCAAUAUGAACAUUGUCUUGAUACAACUUUAUUUGUAUUUUAUUUCAGAAUUUAAACAACUAGUUUGGGCGGGUCACACACGACGUUGUGUGACACUUUAUUUGUCACCGCUGCAUCGACAUAUCCAUCGACUAAACAACGGUGAUCCAACUAUAUAUUACUAGAGACCUUUCCUUAUCAGUAGGCACCAACUCCGGUGCCAACGCUGAAUGGCACACUAGUGGUGGUUCUAUACAAGGGCACAUUGACACGGCACAUCGUUGGCAGGGUACGGAGCGCAAUGGAAGUCAUCACCUCAAGCUGAGCUAUCUGGUGUGGAUGCAAAAAGGUACCCUGUGCCAAUUGUUGUUGUUGAGGUUGUUGCCCGAGUUGCUGCUGCGACUGCUGUUGGGGUUGGGAAACGCAUUGGCCCAACUAUUGCGGUUGCUGCUGCUGAGUUUGGAUGGAACCCUGAACCUGUUGUUGUUCUUGCAGGACGAUGGAGUAGAUGAUAGCACGGAUUGCCUCAUAGCGGGAUUGCUGGGGGAUUUGCGGCAACUGCUGGCAACAUUGUUGUUGCAUCACAUGGCAACUGCUCUGCUGCAACAUUUGCGACCUAGCAAGACUUUGUGGCAUUGCCACAGGGCUGCAUUGCUGCUGGAGGAAUACCUUGCAUGGGUUUAGUUGCUGCAAGAUAGAUGGAUGAACAAAUGGUAUUUGUUGUUGCGGUAGAACUGAUUGUUGUUGUUGCGAAAAUGGUGGUUGUUGCGGUAGUACUGGUUGUUGUUGUUGCGAAAAUGGUGGUUGUUGCUGUGAAAAUGGUGGUAGUUGUUGCUGCGAAAAUGAUGGUUGUUGCGGUAGAACUGGUUGUUGUUGCUGCAAAAAUGGUGGUUGUUGCUAUGAAAAUGGUGGUUGUUGCGAUAGAACUGGUUGUUGUUGCUGUGAAAAUGGUGGUUGUUGCUGUGAAAAUGGUGGUUGUUGUUGCUGUGAAUAUGGUGGUUGUUGUUGCUGCGAAAAUGGUGGUUGUUGUUGCUGCGAUAAUGGUGGUUGUUGUUGUUGCUGUGAACAUGGUUGCUGUUGUGGAAAUGGUUGUGGUUGUUGUUGGAUAGGUUGUUCUUGUUGUUGGUGCCAUAAUGUUUGUUGUGGUGGUAAUGGUUGUUGCUGCGAUGGUCUCUCCAAACCAGGGAUGUGGCUAUUCUCCAUUUGUGCAAUGGCACUUGUCGCCGCAACGGCGAGGAGGGCAAAGAUGAGGAAGGUCUUCAUGGUGGAUUGGUGUUAACUAGUGUUGCUUGGUUUUGAUGCUUGUGCUUGUGACGAUCUUUAUACUUCAUGCCUAUUUAUAGUAGCCCGGGCACCACCUUUUUCUUCUUUGCAUUAGCUUUAAUAAUUUUGUUUGGAUGCAAAAAUGAUUUUUGGUACAAUGUGUUAGGUUGCACUAGCUACACGCGUACUUUUGGAUUGAUCAUCAAAGUUGCUUUUUAGUUGUGCAUAUGAUCACACAUAAAGUACAGAAACCUUGAUGUUUGGUAUAUAUGACUCACCUUAUUCACUUUACAUGUCACACACUUAUCUGGAUAGUAUCACUUUUGCAACCGAGUUUGGAACCUUGUAUAGGCUGUCAUCCAUAAACAAGAAAGGCAAAACUUGUGUAGGACUAAGUGUAGAACUAACUUUGUAUUUUUCCUCUAAAAUGAUUAGAUGAACCGACGCCUAUAGAGCAUGACAUGACUCAUCGAAUUCCCUUUACAUGUAAAGGAUGGUAAUUGCUUACAAGCUACUCCUACUAGCAUAUAUCCGGUCCUAACUCUUGACACGUCAUCAUCAGUUUCGCCUAUUUUUUUAGAUAAAUCAUCAGUUUCAUCUAUUUGUGAAGGGUUUUUUUGGGGGAAAUGAUAGUUUUUUUAUGCUAGGGGGAUUUUUUUGGGGGGGGGGGAUGACGCUAGGGGGAAAUGAUAGAUGGGGCUGGAACAGAGGCCCCCAGCCUGGAGCGAGAGAUUAGGCCCAACAUAAGUGCCGUGUGUUAGGGCACCAAUUCGAUUUGGGCUAUAGUUCUCGUAGGCCCCAACGACACAAGCCCAGCCCACACUCCGCGGAUCUGCGUCCCUCCCUUCCUCGUCCUCCUCGCCGGCCGGACCGCUCGCCGUCGCAGCCUCUCCCGGACGCCCACCGCUCGCGGCCCCUCCACGUACCUCCGCGGCAGCGGAGACGUCAGCCUCCCUCCCACCCUCAACAUCCGGCCCCCCACCACCACCACCACCGCUCGACAAAAAAGGUCACUUUUGAAGCUCCUCCGUCGAUUGUGGGCCGUACGUCGACGGCAGCCACUCCGACCUCCCCAUCAACACAAGGUAUCGAUUUGUUUCGUCUGUCUCUUCCAACGAUUCAAUGCACAUAAAUCCGAGAGGCAGACCCAUCUCCAUGCUAGCUGCACGGAUUAGGAGGGUCAGGCAUCAGAAUUCAGCUGGGAAGCCUGACAGUAAUGUACAUUUGUGGCUUUAGUAGCUGAAUAUAACUAUGUGCUUUCUGAGAAUUUCACUUCAAAAGUUCCAAUAAUCAUCAAAUUUCCCCCUAUGCGCGCUAAGCAGGUGGACCAUAUAUUUCUCAUGUCGACGAACGAAAAAACAAAACUCCACAACUAGAAGUCUAUGAUAUUGACACGGAACCGUGCUGUAGGGUCGCAAGUAAAAAUAUGAAAAGCAUGCCUAAUAAGCGAGAUGACGCAGUUCCUGACCGCCCCGCUACGACUAUUGGUUCCAGCGUGGCGUUUGAAUUAUGCCGCGCUAGAUGUCUUUUGUCCGGCGAGGAACAAGUGGGGUCAAGCGUGCUUCGGCAAUUCCCGCCGUCAGAAGACUUCCUUGUAGUCCGGUGUAGAGGUGAGGUUGUGGGGAGAUACAUCGACUAGCACUACUAGGGAAAAGGCUAGCAGCAGCGCGGGUUUUAGAUGUAUCAGUAGUGCGGGUACCCGCGCUACUAAUACGGCGCUACAGCUAACUCAUAGCAGUAACGCGUGAGCACCCGCGCUACUGCUACACAAGUGUAGCAGCAGCGCGGUUAUGAGAAGCUCGCUACCGCUAGUAGCGCUAGCGCUCUUUGGCCGGACGCUCUACUGCUAUUGAGGCGCUGCUGCUAACUUUUGUACACUCGCUACUGGUAAUUUAAGUAGUUUUUUGGCAUAUUUGUUUUGUAUUUGAACCGGCUUUGUAGAAGAAUCUUUAGCACAUAGAAAUGUCAUCAUGAUACACAUACAAAUGCCUGCGAGACCACAAAUGUAAUCAUAGCAUGUACAUACAAAUAGUCUCUUCAUAAUCAUCAUCCAACACAAAGUGAUAUCUUGUCAUCAUCUCGAAAAUAGCAAUACAUGCAAGUCUCGAAUACUUGCAACUACAACAACGUCAUCCAUCUAAACAAAGGUAUACGCAAGAAGUGCUAUCACUAUGAGUGAGAGCGGAACCAUGCAGUACAUGAGGUGGCGGUUAUGAGUCCUCUCUUGCGCUAGCGUGAACCUCAAGUAACUAGCUUCUCCUUCUUGUCUGCUUUUGAAGCCUUUAUGGCUGGCGCCCGUGAACCCAUUCACUUGCGCCUGACACUCAUGCCACUCGUUGUACACCCCCGGAACCUUCCCUUUGUACACGACAUAGCAUUUCCAUCUCGCCAUCAAGAAACUAGGUACCUGUUAGAGAUGCAUGUUCAUGAAGAGGAUGUACAAUCAUAUAUAUGCAACAAAAUAUACUAGAGCAACACUAAGAAAGAAAGGUUAGCAACUAGAUGCAACAUAUACAUUACGCAAAUUAAUUAACUAGAGGUACGCAGGUCAUCGUACGCAAACUAACAAAGUAGCGUUACGCAAGUUUGGCAGGGACCAUGGACAUCACAAAGUUUCAUCGCUACAAAAAGUAUACAAGUUCAACCGACACAUAUCAUCAUCAUCGGCAUCAUAAAUCACUAGAAGUUCCAUCCUUCCAUAUCAUCGAGGACGAACCCUAGCUGCUUGAACGGCGUGAGGUCUAGACGUUGCAUGCCUAUGCGAGUUCGGACGUCAGCUCGCGAUAUAGGGCCGUGGUGGAACAUCCCCUUCUCAUCGACGACUUCUUUCAUGAUGAUCAUCGCAAUGUCGCUUUGGAUGCGAAAGAAGUCAUCUCUAAGUUUAUAAUUCGCUUCUCCAUGAGAUUCUAGCCACUUGUGGAUAUGAUCAUCAUUUCUGCUGUUAAUGCGAAGCUUUUGGUGAUCCGUGUUGAACUGAAUCAUGAGAUGGACGAUGUAGAAUCCAUCCUUCUUGCUUGGUUUUGGGACGUGGAUGCAGGAGAAGUUAGUUUUAUGCGCGAAACCCAUCUUCUUGUUCCUUUGUUUCCUGAUAUGCACGUGGCCACCUCUAAAGUUGAAGCCUUGGAGAGCAUCAUCUAGAAUAUUCAUUAUGUGGGUGUAGUCCUUUUUCUCGUAGUCUCUAGAAGGGUCAAAAUACACGGCGUGGGAGACUUGCGGGUAAAGAAUGAUAAGGACGGCGCGCCCGUUGCUGCGGGGAAAAGACACCUCAAAUUAUUCCCCAUAUGAGAGAGAAGGAAUGAUUGAAAUGUACGAAAGGGUUGUCCGGAACUGACUUACUUUGGAUGAUAAGGCACGAGGACAAUUUCCCGGUCCUUAUUCUGUACCAUGAAGUUUUGGAGGUACUCCCUAGCAGUUUCACGCUCAAAGUCGCCGAGACUCAAGAAAGACUCGUGCAUGUAGUACGGAUCCGCCACACAGAUUUGCGAGACUUCUUCACUCUUCACGACGGAGCUCAUAUGUAGCGCAAAAAGGCGGACGAUAGUAAAAUCAAGCCGCCUUGUUAGAAACAUCUCAAAGAUAUGGUCAAACCGCAGGAAGAACACCUCCGUGGGCCGUGUGUCGACGUAGCACUUCCCCUCAGGCACACGAGCUGCGUAUGUCGGAUAUCCUGGAUCCUUUGAGGCUAGUAGGCUUUUCUCAGUCGACAGCACGUGGUCGUGCAGUCUCCUGAGAUUCCCUGAUAGUGCCUCCAGCGGUUUCGGCGGUAGCAUCGGCUCGCCCGUGAGAUGGAACAUGACCGCACCUUUCACGGGUACACGCUCUUCAGAAUGCAUCGUCUGGCUGCUGUGUGCUCUGGCUUGUUUGGAGGCAGUUACCUUCCCCAAUCUCUUCCUCUCCUUUUUCUUGGGCACACCUUCCAGACCCUUCCUUAACCCCUGCCCAAGUGUUCCCGGGCUAAGUAUUGUACGACCCUCACGCCCGGCUAGUUGAGCCUGUGUUGAGGCGGCAUCUUCAGGCGUGUCCUGUGAGGAUUUCAUGAAGAGAGACUUUUUGCAUUCCAUGGUACGGCCCUGCCCGGGCAUAUCAUCCAUAUCCUCAUUAGCAAGCUGAUAGCCCGAUUCGUCAUAUGGUUGACUCAUCAUAUCUAUGUCACAGUCAUACGCGUUUGUAUUGAGGUAAUCCAUCGGGUCGACCUCCGUCUCAUCAUCCAUUCUCUGUUCUACAGGAGAAAUUACAUCAGCCAGUACUAUUGCACCCCCUUCAUCAUGUCGUCCGCCGCUCUCACACGGCACUACUACAGGAGCUGGUAAUUGCGUAGGUGGGGUGGUGGUCUCCGCACAUGCUUGCUGAUGUGUGGUAGUUAUUGGUGUGCUCUCGGCCGGCUCCAGACGAAUAAGAUUCUUCGGCCAUAGCAGCACCCAACCCUUGCAGCGUCCAAUCCGCGGCGGGGUCUCGUCGUCCGCUCCCACCUGCUGUACUGGAGGAGGCAAAUCCUCGUGCCCCGAUUUCACACUGGUCAAGCUAACCCUGAAGUGCCCAGCGGGGAUCGGCUGGUUGUGGAAUGUGCGUUGAGAGGGGUCCAUUAUCAUCCCCUUUCCCACGUCCACCUUCUGGCCUUUGAUCAAGUAGAGUAUGGUGCAUGGGGUUUCUUUCGCCUGCAAACACAUAUGUCUGUGGUGUAAAACAACCGAAAGGCAACAAAAAUGGAAUAUUAUAUAUAUAUAUAUGUUGGUGCGACAUGUAAUUACCGUGACGGCGUCGAGCUCAGCCAAAGACGAAGGCCCACCUAGCGCGCCUGAGACUGAGGACGGGCUGCUAUGAGCUGGAGCGGCUGCGAGAGGAGGCCCGGUUGCUUGAGCAAGUGAUGGUGCGAUGGUGUUGUUCAUGGAGUUGCUCGCGACGAAACUGGGCAUUGGGAAAUCAUGUACCGUCUUGUCUGGAUUUUCCUUCGCCCAGUUGAUGAUAACUGGAACCAAGUUAGUAGCGAAAUCAUUUCUGCAGGCAUUUACAGCUGCAUUGACUGCCUGCUGUAGCAACUCAUAUUUGUCCUUGGCUGCUUUUUUCGCGUCCUCGGCUGCUUUUUUCUCGACCGCAAGCUUCACCUUUGCGUCGAUGUCCGCCUAACUAAACUUCUUUUUCUGCUUCUUGGCCUCCGGGCCGUCGUUGUAAAACACCUUCCACGUGGCGCCGUCUCCAGCGCCGUGCACACGACCAUAUUGCGGCCGCUGGUCCAACGGGAGUCCCUUAAGUUCGUUCAAGGCCCAGUUGAGAGGUGUGUCCCACUUGGGCCUCAUCGGAGAAGUAGGGCUUUCGGCUGCAAGCCGGUGUUGCUUCUCCAGUAGUCUAAUCAAUUUCCUCGUGAUCUUGUCCGUGUAAAAAACCUUUUUCUCCUUGUCCCACUUGUAGCGGGCCCUGAUGAAGUCAUGCUCCAAGGGGUUGGUGAACUUCGCGAAGGGGUCUGGGAGACCCGCGGCUUCACGUUCCGCGUCCUCCUUAUCCCAUAUGGGCCUUUUACCGAGGUAGCCACGGCUUCCGAGGCGAUGCUUCCCCAUGUUCCGGAGCUGAAGGCUUUUGAAUUUCGCAGCCUUAGCCUUGGCUGCCUUGGUAGCGCAAGUGUCCUUGAACUUUUCGAACUCCUCUUCCGUAAGUGUCGGAUUUUCCUCCAGAAUCUUGGACAGGGGUUCAUCAGCCUCAAUAGCUCGUUUCACCCUCCCUUUCCAGGAGGCCAAAUCAUUGCUGAACAUGCCCAUGGCGUGAUUGUUAAUCUUUUUCAUCUUCGGAUCAUCCCACGGUUGUUCUAUGUUAUCAUCCCGGUCGGGGAACUUGAAUCUCUUCUGCAACUUCGUUAGGAGCAACUGCGUCAAAUGUUCUUUACUCCUUAAGUCAUCAUCGUUGAUGCUCGCGCAUUCCCGUAGGAUGCAUCCUACUUGGUUCCCAUAGCACUUGCGAGGUUCUUCCGGCUCUAACGGCUCAAACUUUCCAGGUGCCAUCUUUGUGAUCACAAGUCGUCCAAUCCCUAGUUUGUUAGGUUUUCGUAUCCUCUGCUUCUUAUGCUUCCUCUUUUCGGUAUCGGCAUCGGGGCCGGUACCUUCCCCGCCGGUCUCGGCGCCGCCAUCGGUGCCGGCGCCGUCGGUGCCGGCACCGUAGGUGUCGAUGUCGGCGUCAGUACCAUCAUCGAGGCCGACCUGCAAACCUUGCUUAGCAGUCAAAUAGUCGAGGUACUCUUGUUCACCCUCAUAAUCCAUCUCGUCUGCAUCUUGGUCAGAAGGCCCAGUUUCUUCGUUGUUCGACAUGUUUCCUAUGAUUAAGUGGCCUCAUUUAUUUCUAAAAGUAUGAAUAAAUGAGAAAUGACAUAAAAAGAAAUCUAUGUGCCAACACUCGAUAUGCCAACUAUGUAGCACAAAUCAUGCCUUUAUUCACGGGAAAUUUCGGCAUGACCUUUGCUAAAAAAUGGACAUAUCGAGCGCCUGAAAUUCACCGAAACGGAAAUGAAUCAACAUUCCUGCGCAACAUAGGCCACUCGGAUCAUUUUCCAAACAUGACAUGUCCAAAACAUGACAUAUGCACAUAUCACAUGUCCAGUUCAAAUUUCCAUAUAAAUUCAGCUAAUUCAUAACUAAAUAGAUAACCUAAUUAAUUAACAUGAAGANNNNNNNNNNNNNNNNNNNNNNNNNNNNNNNNNNNNNNNNNNNNNNNNNNNNNNNNNNNNNNNNNNNNNNNNNNNNNNNNNNNNNNNNNNNNNNNNNNNNNNNNNNNNNNNNNNNNNNNNNNNNNNNNNNNNNNNNNNNNNNNNNNNNNNNNNNNNNNNNNNNNNNNNNNNNNNNNNNNNNNNNNNNNNNNNNNNNNNNNNNNNNNNNNNNNNNNNNNNNNNNNNNNNNNNNNNGGGGGCGAGCGACAUGGUCGGGGGCGAGCACGCCGGAGUCGGGGUCGAGAGCGGGACAGGGGCGAGCGCCGGGGCUGGCACCGGCGCCGGCAGGGUCGGGGGCGAGCGCCGGGGCCGGGUCGGGCACGGCGGAGCGACGGGGGCCGGAGAGAGAGUGGGGAUUUGGGGGGAAAUGGCGGGAUGAAGCUGGGCGAGUGCGAAUUUUGGGUUAAGUGGACGUAGCAGUAGCGGGUUAUGUCAAAACGCGCUGCUACUAUAUUCUGUAGCGGCAGCGGUUUAUGAGAAACACGCUACUACUAUGGUGCGUAGCUGCAGCGCUUUAUGGGAAACUCGCUACUACUAUGGUGCGUAGCGGCAGCGGUUUAUGAGAAACACGCUACUACUAAGAUCUAGCAGCAGCGGUUUUGUGGAAACGCGCUGCUACUGCCGUCGCUACUGCCAGGUUUCCUUUUUCUUUUCCUUUAUUUUAUCCCACUUUUAUUUCCCGAGGGCAAUGAACGAAGGGAGGGCGAUAUAUAUUGCAUCAUUUGACGGUUAAAUAUGUAUGCAAAAUAGGAACAUAUAUAUUACACAUCAUUGGACCCAUGCAUAAUAAUGACUAAGUGUGUAUACAAAUUAAAUAGGAACAUAUAUAUAUUACACAUCAUUGGACCCAUAACAUACGUUUCCUCAGUGCUGACGUUUUCGUUUUUGAGUCAGCUUCUUUCCCUUCUUGUUCGUCGAAGAAUAAUUGAGCCCCUCAUUGUGACUUUGCCUUUUCCAUGGAGUACGAUUUUUCUUAGGUAAUGUAGUAUUGAUUCUUCUUUUGACGUAUACUUCAUCAUCAUCAUCAUCUUCCCUCAUUGGGUUGCUGUACUGAUCAUAGUCUUCCUCGUUGGCGACUCCAUCCAUUCCAAUGAUGUUCCUUUUGCCUCUCCUCACGACAACACGGCUGGGAUUGCGCGGGUCAGUUAUGAAGAAACAUUGUGUCACGUGCUUAGCGUGUACCCAUGGCUCGUUUUUUGCGAUAGCGUUCAUGGUAGCGCUCUUGGCGUCGGGUAUAGUCAUGGUAGUGAACAUCCGGCUUUCUCUUUCGACAUUCUUAGCCCAUCUGACACGGAACAUCAUCGUGCUGUGCAGUCCAGAGUAGUCAAGCUCCCAGAUCUCCUCGACCCUUCCAUAAAAUCGUUCAGUUGUGCCGUUGUCGCUGCCGGUCAUGCAUUCCAUCGUCACCCCUGAGUUCUGAUCAUCACUGUCCAUAUCUUUUGCCUCUGUGUAGAAUGUGUAUCCGUUGAUAUCAUAUGCCUGAUAGGUUACGAGGUUGGGCGAGGGGCCAUGUGCUAAGGCGUAUAUGAGCAAUCCGUCCUUAGAGCCCUCCUCCGGUGGAUUAGCAAUAAUAUGCUCUUUGAACCAAUGCAGGAAAGUGGAGUUGUGCUCUCUAGUAACUUCGGCGUCCGUCCUGCAUACCCCCCGGUCACGAUACUUCUUUGUGAUAAUUUCUUUGUGCAGUGCCACGAAAGGAUCUACCUCGUCUAGGUGUUGUAGCACUACCAAGUUUGCUCUGUCAAAGUCGCUGCGUCGAUCUGAGUAUGCCACGUGCAGUUCCCUGCGACCGUUGCAGUGACCAUCUCCUUUGAGCCUCCCAUCGUGCUUGUUAACGGGCAAACCAACACUAACACCAGGCGGCUGGUCUGCGCCAUAUAAAAAAUUCUCACAGAAAGAGAUGCACUCUUGUGCCAAAUAGCCCUGGACGAUGCUUCCAUCCGGACGGGACAUGUUACGAACGAAUCCUUUGAUGAUCCCAUUCAUCCACUCAAACGGGAUCAUGUUGUGCAGGAAUGACGGCCCCAGGUCUAUUAUGUCAUCCACAAUAUGGACACACAGAUGCACCAUCACGUCGAAGAACGCGGGCGGGAAGUACAUCUCAAGCUCAUUCAGUAUCACAACGAUCUCUUCCUGUAGCCUUUGGAGCUGCUUCACACUGAUCGACUUUCGAGAGAUGACAUCGAAAAAGUUGCAGAGACCAAUAAGCGUGUCACGGACGUGCUUGUCCAUUAUCCCUCUAAGGGCAACAGGUAGUAUCUGCGUCAUCAUCACAUGACAGUCAUGAGACUUCAUCCCGCUGAACCUUUUCUUGUCCGUGUCUAGAUAUCUGCUUAUCUUGCCACAGUAACCGGAACUAACUUUCACUCCGGUAAGGCACUUAAAGAAUUGAUUGAUCUCAGCCUGACUUAAGGUGAAGCAAGAGGGGGGGCAAUAAUCUUCUUUCUUUAAUUUCUUGCCCUUCUUCUCCCGUGCCUCUGUCUUCGUCUCUGUCUCGUCUGACAUUUUACGGGGCGGCAUCUGCAGAUCUUCCCUGAUUUUCAAAUCUUGCAAGUCUUUUCUUGCCUUCGGCCCAUCCUUGGUCUUAUCCGGCAUGUUCAUCAGUGUUGCGAGCAAGCUCUCAAGGACAUUCUUACAGAUAUGCAUUUGAUCAAGGCAAUGAGGUGUAUCGAGUUUGUGCCAGUACUCCAAGUCCCAGAACACGACCUCGUCUUCCAUACCUUCAGCAGCGGCUCCGGCGCCUUUCUCAUCGUCUUUCCCGGCGCGGGGCACUCAUUCCAGUUUUUCAAUAGCUCAUCGAUUUCGGCACCGCUCCGCUUACGUGGAGGUCCUCGAUGCUCAGCGUGACCAUUGAAUAGAUCUCCACGGUUUCUCCACGGGUCGUCCUGUUCAAGCCAUCUUCGAUGCCCCAUGUACAUGAUUUUCGCAGACCCGCCAUCUUUCCUUGACGUUAGCUGCUGAGACGUUGUAUCAUCCAUGCACCGCGUGCAUCCGCAAUAUCCAUGGCACACCUGGCCUGCCACAUAUCCGUAACCGAGAUAGUCCUGCACUGUCGUGAUCAGCGCGGCUCUCAUGUUGAAAUACUCACCUUUGCUGGCGUCCCAUGUCUUGGCCGGUGUUUUCCAUAACGUGUCUAACUCCUCUUGAAGUAGCCCCAGAUACAAAUUAAUAUUAUUUCCUGGUUGUUUCGGCCCUUGAAUAAGCAUGCUCAUGUGAAUGUACUUCGAUUUCAUACACAACCAGGGGGGGAGGUUGUACAUCCAUACAAACACGGGCCAUGUACUAUGGUUGGUGUUCUAGUUGCCAAAUGGAUUCAUGCCAUCGGUACACGCGCCGAGCACGAUGUUCCUUGCAUCACAUUCAAAAUACCGUUAGAAGCUGUUCAACGCUCUCCACUGGCUUCCAUCCUUCACGUGUCUCAGCUUCGGAUCAUCUCCAUCGUCGGGCUUCUUCCUCUCCGCGUGCCAGCGCAUUAGCUUUGCUUCCUUGGGAUCUACAAAAUACCUCUGAAGACGGGGAGUGAUCGGUAAGUACCAUACAACUUUCUGGGGACAUUUCUUCCCGGCCUUCUUGUAUCGAGAAGCAUUGCACACCGGACAGCUUGUUUUUUCCGCGUGCUCCUUCCGAUAAAUUAUGCAAUCGUUGAUGCAUGCAUGGUAUCUAACGUGUGGCAGAUCAAGAGGGCACACGAUCUUCUUGGCCUCAUCAACACUAGUAGGACAUAGAUUACCCGCGGGAAGAAUAUCCUUUAGGUACUUGAGAUGGUCAUCGAGGCUAGUGUCGGUCCAUUUGUUUUUAGCCUUCGUCUUCAGGAGUUGGAGCGUGAAACUCAACCGGGUCACCUCAGGAUUGCAACCAUCAUACAAUGGAGUGUUCGAGUCUACCACCAGUUGCUCCAGCUUAGCCUCCUCUCUAGAAGCAGCUCUCUCAGUACUCGUCUCCUUGCGAAGCAAUGCUUGAACAUGAGGGUCCCGCACAAUUGAACUUAGUACCGACGAACUCUGCUGCGUGGAGUCCAUGUCGUUCUCUCCGCCGCCAUGUCCGGCCCCUUCUCCUCCGCCAUGUCCGGCCACUUCUCCGCUGCCAUGUCCGGCCUCUUCCCCGCCGCCAUUAUCGAUCAUCUCUUCGUCUUGCCCCGUGUCAUCAUUGCCUGCCCCGUCGGCAUCCUCAACAUCUUCAUCCUCAUCUUCAAUUAUCCACCGAGUAUAGCCAUCCAUGAAACCAGUCAUGAGCAGGUGCGCUUCGACACGACCAUCGUCAUGGGGGUCGAGCCAAACUAUUCCUUUGCAUUUUCAACACGGACAUAAAACCUCUGUCCGGUUAUUUUCUUUCAUGUCUUGCACCGCCGACCGCAACCACCUGUCCACCAUUGUUCCACUGACCAUCGUCAACUCUGCACGGUAAUAAUAAAAAAAUUGAUUGUAAAAAUGCAUGCAUGCAUCAAAGUCAUAAAAAAAUUUGGCAUGACCUUCCCUAAAAAUAGGACAUAUAUGGAUCUAGAGUUUGCCCGAAAUUCGCCGAAACGAAAAUAAAUCGACAUUUCGGCAAAACAUAGGCAACUCAAAAGCACAAUUUGGCGGCGUCAACUCAUGCCACAGACACAAUUUCCACAAACAUAUCACACAUACACAUAAACACAUUUCCAUUUUGCAAAAGCAUGAAAUUUUCAUCACCUCUAUCUCGAUGGCCGGAGAUGAUGUUGUAGGGAGAUCAAAAGUGCACAAAGCUAUUCUUGACAAAGAUAGAUCUAGUUAGGGGGCAAAUAGGUCACUUAACUAAAUCCUACAUCUACCUAGCUACCUAAUUUGGAAGGAGACAACUUCAACUAGUGGAGGGGGAGGAAAAAGAGAAAGAAGAUGCAUUAAUUAAUGGAGGUGGUGUAGUUAUGUAGGAGUAAUGAAGAGAGAGAAGGUGGAUAGAGAANNNNNNNNNNNNNNNNNNNNNNNNNNNNNNNNNNNNNNNNNNNNNNNNNNNNNNNNNNNNNNNNNNNNNNNNNNNNNNNNNNNNNNNNNNNNNNNNNNNNNNNNNNNNNNNNNNNNNNNNNNNNNNNNNNNNNNNNNNNNNNNNNNNNNNNNNNNNNNNNNNNNNNNNNNNNNNNNNNNNNNNNNNNNNNNNNNNNNNNNNNNNNNNNNNNNNNNNNNNNNNNNNNNNNNNNNNNNNNNNNNNNNNNNNNNNNNNNNNNNNNNNNNNNNNNNNNNUGUGGUGGAGGGAAGAGAGGAGAGGGGGAGGUAGGGGGGAAGGGAAAAAAGGAAGGGGGAGGGGAGGGACGGGUUGGGGGUUGGUGGGGUUAGCAGUAGCGCGGGAGAUAAAACGCGCUGCUGCUAAGAACUUAGCAGCUGCGCGCUUUGCGGUAAGGCGCUACUGCUAACUGGGACAAAAAAUUGUGGCAAUUUGAAACUUACCAGCAGCGAUCUCGAGGAAACCGCGCUACUACUACGUACUUAGCAGUAGCGCUGUUAUUGCGACCGCGCUACUGCUACUUAGAGUUGGGGGAACACCGCCGGUCGAUAUUUGUAGCAGCGCGUUUCUUGUCGAGCGCGCUACUGCUAAAUCUUUAUCAGUAGCGAGUUUACGUAACCCGCGCUACAACUACUUAGCAGCAGCGCUCUAUUUUGAACCGCGCUGCUGCUAAGAUUCUGUGUAUAGGCUUUUCCCUAGUAGUGUAGGAAGGAAUGACCACAUGAAUGAGCAUACGUAUGAUGUGAUUAAGUCUCUCGAUUGGGUAUCUGGUGCCUUAUGUACGGUGUCUUCUUUUUGUCAAGCUAUGACAUCUUUCAGUUUGAGUGUCUGAUAUUAGGGUUGCAUACGUUUUGUUAUUCAGUUGCCUGUUGUGAACUCUACGGUUAUAUCAUCUCGAUGUGUGAGUCAAUGUGUUUGAACCAAUGUAGAGUUUCAUGUGAAUGUUACAAGUGUGAUUGAUAUGUUCAUGUUAUCCGCGGUUGCCUUGGUAAGAAACUGAAAGAGCAAACCGUUAUCGUGCUAGGACAAAAGUCAUCACUCAAUAUAAGUGCUUCUCUAGAACAGCCACACCUUGUGAAAGAAGAUGGCAAACACCCAAUCAUGUCUGGUUCGAUAUGGGCGUGGCUAUGGGUAGCUUAUAGCGACAUGGAAGCCAGCAUCGCUGGAAGAAACGCCCGGGUGGGCCGGCCUAGAGACAUUUCUUGAUAUCUACCCUUAGUUUUGUUUUUCUGCCCUUCUUUCUUUAUAUUUAUAUUUUUCCCGACAUGUUCACUACUUGAUGCUCAACUGGGAUCUCAUCCUUCACAAAUACGGAGAGCCAUUAUUGUUAGAGUUAAUCUUGACAUGUGUGUAUGUGCAUGUGUGCAUUGCAUGUUAGUGGUCUAGAGAUGGCCGGGUCGAUGCGUCUGUUCUGUGCUGGAGUGAGUCCAGCAGUUUGUUUUGGUCAGGUCGUGGUGGCUAGAGCCAUUCUAGGAGAGGAUCAAGUCAAGUUGUUAGCUGAACUCGGCUGGGUAGUGUUUGGCCGUUGAGGAUAGGCUGUACUAGUGGUGGGCAUGGCCGUGCAUAUAGCUAGCGAUUAGUUACACUAGUAGAAAACCACCCAUUAGUCCCGGUUCGUAAGGGCCUUUAGUCUCGGUUCAGGAACCGGGACUAAUGGGUCGUUACUAAUACCUCCACCCAUUAGCCCCGGUUCAAACACGAACCGGGACCAAUGUGCCUCCACGUGGCCCUGUGCGGCGAGCCCAGUCAGGGGGCCUUUGGUCCCGGCUGGUGGCUCCAACCGGGACCAAAAGGCAUCCACGCGUCUGCAUUCUAGUGGUUUCUGGUUUUUGUUUUUUUUUUGAAAGGAGGGGGGUUGGGGGUUUUGGGGAGUUAAUUUAGGUGUUUCGUAUAUUGUGUUAACUAGCUAAUUAAUAGAGAGAAGUGUCCUCUCUUAUGUCCGUGCUUGGUCGACGCUACGUAGUAUAUAUACAUAAGUAAUCGAGAGAACCAUUCAGUACAGAAGUUCGUCAUGCAUACCGAGAGAAGUGAUCGAUCGACCUCUCCUUCUCCGAGAGAUUGGUCGAACAACAAGUUUUUUACUGGCUACAUACAUGUACAAUAUGUAUAAGAUCUCUUAAUUACAAACCCAUAGCAUUUGAAAUCAACUUCCACAUGGUAUUCUCCGGCUUUACUGAUGACGUGUUCAAGAAAGAAUCCCGCUAAUUCCUCUUGAAUUGCUUUCAUGCGAUCUGGUUCUAGGAGUUCACCCCGCAUCUGCCACGUCUAAUUAAUUUGAAGAAGGGGGUUAAUUAAUACAUAUAUAUGAAUGAAACUCAACAGAAAAUGAUGGUGUAAUAAAAUGAAAUUGUGAAUAUUAUUGCUUACGCACUUCAUAUUGUCUUCUAGAGUAGCCCCGCUUGUUUCUCAAAGUUGCGUUGUGGAUGAACUCGCACACGUAGUAUCCACAAAAAUCAUUCCCUUCCUCCUGUCACAAGCACUUUACGAGAAACAGAGGUCAAUCAAACUGAUAAUGAAGCAUUAUAAAUGGCAUUGAUGAAAGUAUAGCUAUAGAAUCAACGGGAGAUGCACGCAACUAGCUAGCCAGUAGUACUUACUUUCGGGUAUACAUAUCGCAGCUCCUUCGGCAGUCCCGGAGCUUGUGCGGUGAACUGUUUCCGAACCCUGCAAGACAAAGAAAAUAAUUAUUAUUACUUGAGAUAUCAGGAAAUGAACAAAAAGUUGCCGAUAUGGUGCGAUAAUGAUCGAUUGAACUUACUUGCUGAGCAUUUCAGUCAUGUCCACAUAGGUGCUGGGAUCUUUCCGUCUCGAGUCUAAGACGGUUACUAGUCCACGCUCAAGCUUAAUCUCCAGAAGAAUAUAGUGGUACCUGCGCACGCGUGCAUAACUCAUCAAUUACAUUAACCUCGCUCGAGUAAUAAGGGAAACCGAAUAUGCACACGACAGUAACACUCACGGGCCGUUGUAAGGAAAGAGUAUGGUAUCUUUGUUUUGAUUUUUGAUCAACGAUUGUAGCAAGUUGUCCUCGGCCUCUUCGACGUUCUUUUCAACCAGAAAUACAUCUAUGAUAUUUGUGUUAAUGAACCCAAUAUCAUAAAUUUUUUGUUUUUUGCACUCGACGAUCUUCAAUCUGCAUAAUAUAUUGAGGAUAAUUAAUUAUAAAUACAUGCAAUGAAAGAUCCGAGCUAUAUAUAGAGACUUAAUGUCAGAAAUAGUACUUACAUGCAGUAGCAAAAGACCAUUAAUUUAUCGAGGGCCUUUUGAUUGAAGAACUCAAAGAACUCCUCAAAUGGAACACACAACAGAUCAUUUGAAAUGAGGUCGUGCUCCUCUUUAAUAUUCAAAUACAAACUGUUCGUCCCCUCAGACUCUCUGCAGGUUUUCAUGUACCAAUUAUGGAAUCUUCGCAUCAUUAUUGUCAGAGAUUUUUCAUCUUUGACGAGAGGCUUCCCGUACUCGUAUCUGAAUACGUCCACCUCCAUGAAAUCAGGAAGUGCAUCGUCAGGCAGGUAAUCUUCAAGAUUGCCAUAACCGGCCACCGUCCCCGGAGGAUUAGACACAUUGAGCGGGGGGCACGAUUGCUGUGCUUGUUCGCCGAGCUGGGCAAUUUUUUUCCCCUUUGCUCGUUGUUCUUUUGACCUUUUAUCAUUGACAGUAGUUCCCGACCGCUUGGCUUGGAGAUAUGUCUGUUCAGUAAUGCGCUCAUAGUUGGUUCUCGGCGGAGACUUUGGUGGUUUCCUCAGGGCAUCGAGAGUGCGCUUUGCUUUCACCGGAUCUACCUUCUCCUCCGGAGGUGGAUGUCUCUUUGCUUUCACCCCUUCAAAGAACUCCUUCACGUGGGCCUGCACGAUCGUAUUGUUUUCCUCCUUGGUCCUCUCGUACGGUAACUUCUCUAGAGGCUUUAGAGGUGGACCGUAUCUGUAUUGCCUCUCUCUUCUUGUGCUGCUAGACGCCGGAGCAGACGGAGCGGCUGUGGCGUCUGUCUUCUUCCGUGCUUGCUUAUGAGGCGGAGGAGAAGGACUACGACGCGCCGGAGCAGCCGGGGCGGCGGCGGGUCUCUUCCGCCCUUGCUGGCGAGGCGGAGAGGAGGAGGCGGAGUGCCGCCACAUGCCGGAGAAGGAGGCGGAGUGCCGCCAUGCGUGCCCUGAUCGUCACUCGCCGGAGGAGGAGGCGGUGGAGGAGGCGGAGUGCCGCCACGCGUGCCCUGAUCGUCACUCGCCGGAGGAGGACGCGGUGGAGGAGGCGGAGUGCCCUGACUCGCUGAAAGAGGAGGAGGAGGCGGAGGCGUCCAGUUCAGAAGGUUGAUGAGCUCCUUCUGCCAUAGGCAUGGAGUCUUCAGAGCAGAACCCAGCCUAGUCUCCCCUUCACCGGUAGUGUGCUCAAGCACGAGGUCCUCAAAUCCCUCCGUUAUUUCAUCCACCAUCACCUUAGCAAAUCCUUCUGGAAUUGGCUGGCAGUGAUAAGUUGUGCCGGGUCCACUAGGAUAAACUUGGCCAACAGCCGCCUUGACCUUCAAAUUCAUCCAUCACACAAUAAUGUGGCAAUUUUGAGACUCCGUGAUACCAUCCACGGGAUAGCUGGCAGGAGCCGUCAAGACAUGCUCCGGCUGAAGCAGCUCAGUGGAAGCCACGCUGCUUCUCUGCUGAGAUGGCGGGGUAGCUUCGGGGGAAGCUUCGGCAGGUCGUUUGUUGUGAUCUGCUGCUUCUUGUUCCUCUAGCCCCAUUACCCUUUCGUGCAGCGCCUGCAUUUGGUCCUGCUCCAGUUUCUUCCUCCUCUCGUAGGCUUUGUAAACGCCUGCGUCCAGAAAACCAACCUUCCACGGAAUGGAGCCUGGCGUGCCUCGUGUCCGUCCAGGGUGCUCGGGAUUCCCAAGGGCCAUUGUGAGCUCGUCCUUCUCCCUGUUUGGAAGGAACGUCCCUCGUUGUGCUGCAUCGAUAUAGUGUCGAAGGUUCUUGACUGGUGUUUGCAGUUGCUCGUCCGUCCACUGACGCUUCCCUGUUACAGGGUCCAAGGUUCCGCCAGCCCCGAAGACCCAAGUCCGGCAACGGUCUGGCCAGCGCAUUGUCUCUGGUUCGAUUCCUUUUUCAAGCAGAUCAUGCUCAGCCUUGGACCACUUAGGCCGGGCUUUGAGGUAGCCACCUGACUCCGUGCGAUGGUGAAGCUUCUUCUUCGCAGCAUUUUUCUUGUUUGUCUCCGACAUCGUCUUACUCUUUUCCGAUGUCUUGUGGGCCACAAAUGCGGGCCAGUGAUCUUUGAUCUUCUCAUAUUUGCUGAUGAAUUCUGGUGUCUUUUUUUUCUCGAGAAACUGGUUCAGCUCUUUCCUCCACCUCCUCAUUAGGCUUGCCAUCUUCUUAAGAGCACAAGACUUGAUUAAUUGCUCUUUAACUGGCUUCUCCGGAUCCUCCUCUGGCGGUAGGGUGAAAUUUGCCUUCAGCUCAGUCCAAAGAUCUUCUUUCUGCAUAUCAUUGACAUAAGACACCUCAGGGUCUUCAUCCUUAGCAGGCUUAUACCAUUGCUGGAUGCUGAUCGGGAUCUUGUCCCUAACAAGAACCCCGCACUGAGCAGAAAAUGCCUUCCUUGUCCGGAUGGGUUCAAUCGGUUCGCCGUCGGGCGCGAUUUCUAUGAUCUCAAACUUUUCAUCCGAGAUCAACUUUUUCUUCGGGCCUCGUCUCCUUACCGAAGUUGUGCUCGAUCCGGAGGGCUAGAAAUUAUAAGGAAGAAAGACGACAGUAAUUAAUAUGUGUACAUAUACCAAAACAAUGGAUGCAUCAAUUAACUAGUCAGCACGGGCUUAACUAAUAUAUAUAUACCUGGCCGGACUCGGUUCGGUGACCGGAGCAGUCAGCACGGUCUCCUUGUACCUCCAUUGUGUCACCGGAGCCAUCAUGAACAUAGUCCUCCUCUUGUACCGGCAUUAAUGGGUCGAAGCCAUCAUAAACAUAGCCCUCUUCUUCAUCCAGUCCUUCCAGCUGACCAUCGGUGUCGAUGAGAAAUGACGCAACAUCAUCACUUCCAUUUGCGAUUAUGUCCCCCAACAUCGCUUCUGUUUCUUCGUCUCGGGAGUGCUCCAUAGUUUCUGCAAAUAUUUACAACAUGUCAAUUAUUAUUCAAACAUGGUACAAAUGGAUAUAUAUAUAUAUAUAUAUAUAUAUAUAUAUAUAUAUAUAUGAAAAUGGAUUGGUACUCCUAGGAGUACAUACUCUCACCUACACCCGUCAUCGUUGGAAACAUUCAUCCCGCUAACUACUAAAAAAAGAGCUAACUAACUACGGAUAAAGCCUUUGGAUUUAAAAAUUAGUUGAACCGCUUCCUUUUUUUUCAGCUCUCGUAGGCGUGCCUUCCAGGGAUUCCAUUUGAAACGGCGUUCUCAUCUCUUGCCAGCACCCAUGAACAUAAAAAAACAGAGCAUCGGCUCGCCUCCGCCCCGCCGACUGACCGGAAGACUUGGUCGACAUGGCCGACGAUGAUCCCCGUGCUUCUUCCCUCGCAAACUAGGCUUCAACCACCACGUCCAUCAAUCAGAGGAAGAUUGAUUCAUCAUCUGUAGUUUGCGAGGGUACGUGCAAUUGAUGUUUCCCGAUUUUUCUGUUCGGCUACCACAACCGUGUUCAUGUUCCCGCUGACCCCUUGAUCCAUUCCUGUCCAGUAUGUCAUCGUCCGAGAAGAAAAUAGGACGGAGAUGAUUGAUCGGCCAGAUUGAUCGGCCAAGUCUACUAGUACCACUGGUGGAAAAAAGGCCUUUGGUCGCGGUUCGCAACUGCCAUUAGUCGCGGUUGCGCAACCGCGACCAAAUAAGCGCGACUAAAGCCCCCCACCUUUAGUCGCGGCUGCUUAAGAACCGCGACUAAAGGCCCGUCCAUGUGGGCGCCAGGCGGCCGUCGGGACGGAGGACCUUUAGUCGCGGUUCUUCUGGCCAACCGCGACUAAAGGCCGCCACAGGUUUAGGGUUUUAGCCCCCCCCCUAAACCUGUUUUCUGUUUAAUUUGUAUUGUUUUAUUUCUUUUGUGCUUUAUUUUAAUUUUGAAGGAGUUUCAUAUAUUCUACGGUACUACAUACAUGCAUAUGAAUGUACAAUUUCAAAUAAAUUUGAAAUUAGAACCAAAAAGAAUUCAAGAGGAAUAUACAAUAUAUAUUCAAUAUCAUCGGAUGACCAUAUACAAUUUUGAACAAGUUUCCAUACAUGAUUUAAUGCAUAUAAAGUUCUACGUCCUCGUAAUAGUGUUCUCCUUUAGGAUGGAGGACUUCCCUGCUGAACCAUCCAGCUAGUUCCUCUUGAAGUGGUCGGAAGCGAGCUUCUGGACUAAGCAUCCACCGGAGGUUAUUCCUCUGAGCAUUGGUAUCACUCGGAACCCGCUCAGAGGUGUAUCUCCGGAUCAUCUCACAGACAUAGUAUCCACAUAGAUUGGUCUCCGGUGGCUGAAUAUCCCCAGCAUUCUUAGCCACUGACCUUUUGAAUUCUAGCUCUUUUUUGAAUUCACCGACCUUUGUAUCUACGAACCGUCUCCAAACCCUACGAGGCAAAGAAAAUUAAAUGAACAAGAGAGUUAUUAGUUACUUGAUAUUAGGAAAUGAACGAAAUAGGCCGAUUGAUAUAGAGCGCAAAUGAAUGAAAAUAAUUACUUCUGCAGCAUUCUUCUCAUGCCGCCCCAAAGCUUUGGAUCCAUAUUCACAGAGUCGUGGACGAGACAUUCUGAGGUGUUAACUUUAAUUACUAGCAGAAUCCAGUGGAACCUGCGGACACGAUACAUGCACAGUACGUCAUGCAUAACUCAUCGAUUAGCCGGCCACAUACCAUGCAUGGAGUAAACAAAAGAGAAUGUGCUCAAGACACAAACACUCACCCAAAAUGGUAAGGAAAUAGAAUAUCACUUUUGAGUUCCUGCUUUGUAAGAAACUGCCACAGGUCUACCUCCACGUCGGCGGGGUGACGCUCCAACACAUGUCCAUUAACGAUGUGUGGGUCAAUGAACCCAACAUCAUGGAUGUUCCUUACUCUGCAUUCCUUAAUCUUCAUUCUGCAUGUAUAAUAGCGGACACAACAAUAUAGUUAGGACAUAUAUAUAGUGCAGGCAAUAUGAACGAGAUGGGGUAGAAAUUAAUAAAUCACUUACAGAACGUAGCAACUGAUGAUAGAUUUAUCGAGCUCGCGCAGAUUGAAAAGCUGGAACAAUUCACUCAGUUCAAUUUGUACAUAGUAAUGUUUGAAGUGAUGCUCAUGUCUAACUUCCGCAUAAAUAUAUUCUUUGGCGUUUUUAUUUUUUAUGUAACCCUUGUACCAUUUCAGCAGACCUUUCAUUUGUGGAGGUAGAUCCUUUUCCUGCGCAGGCUCGACGAGAGGCCCAUUCUUGACAUAUGUAAUUACUACCUCCUUCACUGGCGCCUCAUCAAGGCCUAACAGUUCACGAAGAGUAAUACCUAAGUUGGCCGCUUGUUCUAUGGCACUCGUUACAGUCAAUCCCUGUGCUGCCGCAGCUUGUAUGAUCUCGGGGGCAUCCGGACAGAAGGCUUCCACUAUAAGCGGGGCAAUCGAUUGUUUACUUUGUUCCCCGAGCUGGGCAACUUGUUUCCCGCUUUUUUUACUUUCGGCCUUCUCCCGCUCUUUGUUCUCCUUGAACAUGAGUGCCUGCCUGCGAAGUUCACGUGCAUAGUCGUUAGGCAGAUUCUUCGCGGCUUGGGACGGUGUGCUCAAAAAUGACUUAGCCCACUUGUUUUGCUCAUCAGAAAAUACUGGCUUGGGCUCGAGCUCUCUUUUCUUCUUGCAGUCCGCCUUCCAUUUCUCCAAAUCAGCAGCCGCGGCCGCGUCGACUUCCUCGGCACUACGUUCCCAAGGCCUUGUGGGGAGAGGCUUCAGUGAUGGCUCCGGUACCUUUGUGGUCUUAGGUACAUAAGGGUCCGGGUUAAUAAUCCAGGACUGCUUCUGCUUCUUUGCCGGAGGUGGAUUGGGGGGCGGCGUCUGAUCACCCGCCGGACGAGGACUGGGGGGCGGCGGCUGAUCACCCGCCGGACGUUGUGGACUGGGGGGCGGCGUCGGCUGACGUGACGGAGGUGUAGGUGAACCGCCACCACCACCACCACCACCACCACCGCCACCGCCACCACCACCACCGUAGGGGGGUGGACUUGUUGUCCUUGGCGCCUCGCCUGGAAACUUGAUAAACUUCUUUUGCCAUAGAAUGAAAUGGCGCUUGACAUCUCCAAGUCUUUUCUCCCCUUCAGGUGUAGCAAUGUCAAUCUCCAGGUCCUCAAACCCUUGGACUAUGUCCUCCACCGUGACACGAGCAUAGCCAUCUUGAAUGGGGUUGUUGUGGUGGAGUGCUCCAGGUAAACAUGGUAAAGCACUGCCGAUGGCUACCUUCAUGGACAUGUUCCCGAUAGGAUAAUACAGAUGACAUUCUUCUCCGCUGCUGGCUUCCGAGAUCUGCUGGAUGAUCUUCAUGCUGCACCCGAGCUGCAUCUCUUUCGGCUACUAGUACACUCAUGGUUUUCUUCAUCACAUCCAUUUCCGAUGCCAACCGCGCCACAACAUCUGCUUCCCGAUCCACCUUUCUCUUACGGCUUCUGUAACCGUACGGGUCAUCGUUCUGGGGGAACCCUAUUUUCCACGGAAUGUGCCCCAUGCCUCGUACACGUCCUCCGUGUUCAGGAUUCCCGAGGGAUUUUGUCAGCGCGUCGUUCUCUCUGUUGAACUUGAUCUUCCCCUGUUGAGCAUCCCUCAUUGCGUUAAUAAGGGCUUGGGUGGGUUUAAUUAAUUUGCCCCGGUAAACACACUCCCCUGUCUCCGGGUUCAGCGUUCCCCCAUGCCCGUACCACCAACUUUUGGCCCUUGGGUCCCAUCCCUCCGUACCUGCACGGAUUCCUCGCGCCCUCAGCUCGUUCUCCAUCUUCUCCAACCUAGGCACCCAAAUGCGAUACCCUCCUGGCCCCAUAACAUGAUUGUACUCCUUCUUAGCCGCAUUUUCCUUAUUUUUUCGAUAUUUGAAUGAACUGCUCCGAUUUCUUUUGCUUCACAAAUUCUGGCCAAUCAUGUUUCAGUUUCUCAUAUUGUCCUUUGAAAUCCGGAGUCUUGUUCUGCUUGACAAAGUCAUGGGCUAGAUUUUGCUUGAAUUUCCGGAAUGCGUCGGCCAUCUUAUGAAGAGCGAACUGUUUGACUAGCCUCCUCCUCUCCUUGUUUUCUUCAAUCUUGUUACCCUCCUCAUCGAAUUUGUUGUAUUCCGGAGGUAGAACGAAAUGUUCCAUAAGCUUCUUGAAGCAAUCUUUUUUUGUUCUCUUAUCGACAAAAGUGAAACCAUCAAUUCGUGCCUUCUUUGGCUCAUUCCACUCCUGGACGGUGAUCGAGACGUUGUCUCUAACAAUGGCUCCGCAUUGGCUGACAAACUUGGUGGCGUUCUUGCGGGGCUCCAGCGGCCUGCCGGUUGCACUGUCGACAACCUCGAUGGUGCAUGUUUCUCCUUGUUUCAUCGUCUUGGUUGCGCCACGCUUUGACGACGUACUCGAUUGUUUCGACGAUCCGGCCGAGGGCUAAAAUAAGAAAGAGUCGCGCGCGUUAGUACACACAUAUUUAUUCAAAUCAGUUAGUUUGUAUCACCAGAGGCUCAAUGUAUAUAUAUACCUCGGCGCCGGAGGUGGUUGCUACAUCCAUUUGAAGAUCGUCGUUUAUCGACGUUUGUUCGGCAUCAUCUUGCUGACGGCGCCCUUCAUCUUCACCGUCAAGGUUCAGAUAAGAAGAGAUAUCAUCUUCUUCUUCUCCGGUCGGCACAUAUAGAAUAUCGCCGUUUAUGAUGCCGAACAUAUGUGCUUCACCGUCCGGAUCAUAGUUGUCCAUAAUCGGGUCAGCUCUAUCGUCCGCCAUUAUGUCAGUCCUGAAAACAUGUAGUAAAAACAAAUUAAUUAAGUGAAGAAGGGGGGCGGUGGCGGUGGCGGUGGCGAAAGGGUGGUGGCAAAAGGAGGGGGCGAGGAAGGGGUGGGAGAGGGUGUCGCGGUAGAGCGCGAGACGGGGCGGCACGAACGUCAUUUUGUGAAGAAACUUUGCAAGCAAUUAAACAUUUGUCAAUGUUUGGUAAAAAAAAUACAGGUAGCGUCUGUUGCUCCUAAUGAUUGGAAACGGUUUCCAAUUGCCAACGAGGAUUUAGAUCGACUACUACUACUAGUUGCAUUGCUCCCCAUCGGGACGAUGUUGCUCCUAAUCCCCUCCUUUGGAAUCUAUAGUACUAGUGCAUACUAGCUGGCCGUUGACCGUUGUUGCUCAUCGCGUUUUCUCAAAGUCCACUGAUUUUGCUCAGGGCCAGUUCGGAGAUUUUGCUGGUCCACUGAUUUUGGAUCAACGCCGGGAUGGCAUGGGCGCUCGGCGAUGAUGCGAAGUAGACUUGCACAGGCAACGUGAUGUACAUGGAUGUGUCAGUACGGUACGCUCGGCGAUGCCACGGUAUGGAUGACUUCUCGAGUGGAGAUUGGAGAACCAAGUUCGCCGGUGAAACGUCGGCUCCUGAUCAGAUCUGGGGGUCGCGAACUAGCGAUUGGAUCUCGGAAGGGAGUUAGGAAAGCGAACAGACGUGCGUUCAAGGCUACAACUUUUUUUUUCAGGAUCUUGAAAACAGCUACGCGUUCAAGGCCCGGUCCUGAUUUUGCUCAUCUACCCGGGGCGGCGUUCGCACUGCGCGAGGGCCGACUCCGCGGGGUGCUGCCGCGUCGCCUCGUCGACGCUGAGCGAGUUGGCGAGGACCGUGUACAUGGUCGGCACGUCGCCGGCGGAGAGGGUCAUGCUGUCCCCGACCAGCGGCGGCCACGGACGGGGAGGGCGGCGGCGGUGACUGGGAAGGAAUGAUAGGAGAGGAAGGAAGGUCGCGUGGGGUUGAGGGCGGNNNNNNNNNNGGCGAGGAGGGACUCCUUGGCGGAGAGGCGCUCCGUCUCGCGGGCGUAGCUGGCAGCGGGCUCCCACGCCUGCGCGUACACGUCGUCCCGCCGUGCGUUCAAGGCUACAACUUUUUUUUUUAGGAUCUUGAAAACAACUACGCGUUCAAGGCCGGCCCGGUCCUGAUUUUGCUCAUCUACCCGGGGCGGCGUUCGCACUGCGCGAGGGCCGACUCCGCGGGGUGCUGCCGCGUCGCCUCGUCGACGCUGAGCGAGUUGGCGAGCACCGUGUACAUGGUCGGCACGUCGCCGGCGGAGAGGGUCAUGCUGUCCCCGACCAGCGGCGGCCACGGACGGGGAGGGCGGCGGCGGUGACUGGGAAGGAAUGAUCGGAGAGGAAGGAAGGUCGCGUGGGGUUGAGGGCGGGCGAGCGAGGCGGCAGUACCGAGGCUGGCCGGCGGCGCGCGCGCGGUGGGCGAGGGCGACGGCGGGCGGCGUCGAGGGCGAGGGCGACGGCGGGCGGCGUCGAGGGCGCGGCAGAGACGAACAGGCGAGAAACGGCGGGCGGCGUCGAGGGAGCCUUGUAUUUAUAGCCCCCCCNNNNNNNNNNNNNNNNNNNNNNNNNNNNNNNNNNNNNNNNNNNNNNNNNNNNNNNNNNNNNNNNNNNNNNNNNNNNNNNNNNNNNNNNNNNNNNNNNNNNNNNNNNNNNNNNNNNNNNNNNNNNNNNNNNNNNNNNNNNNNNNNNNNNNNNNNNNNNNNNNNNNNNNNNNNNNNNNNNNNNNNNNNNNNNNNNNNNNNNNNNNNNNNNNNNNNNNNNNNNNNNNNNNNNNNNNNNNNNNNNNNNNNNNNNNNNNNNNNNNNNNNNNNNNNNNNNNNNNNNNNNNNNNNNNNNNNNNNNNNNNNNNNNNNNNNNNNNNNNNNNNNNNNNNNNNNNNNNNNNNNNNNNNNNNNNNNNNNNNNNNNNNNNNNNNNNNNNNNNNNNNNNNNNNNNNNNNNNNNNNNNNNNNNNNNNNNNNNNNNNNNNNNNNNNNNNNNNNNNNNNNNNNNNNNNNNNNNNNNNNNNNNNNNNNNNNNNNNNNNNNNNNNNNNNNNNNNNNNNNNNNNNNNNNNNNNNNNNNNNNNNNNNNNNNNNNNNNNNNNNNNNNNNNNNNNNNNNNNNNNNNNNNNNNNNNNNNNNNNNNNNNNNNNNNNNNNNNNNNNNNNNNNNNNNNNNNNNNNNNNNNNNNNNNNNNNNNNNNNNNNNNNNNNNNNNNNNNNNNNNNNNNNNNNNNNNNNNNNNNNNNNNNNNNNNNNNNNNNNNNNNNNNNNNNNNNNNNNNNNNNNNNNNNNNNNNNNNNNNNNNNNNNNNNNNNNNNNNNNNNNNNNNNNNNNNNNNNNNNNNNNNNNNNNNNNNNNNNNNNNNNNNNNNNNNNNNNNNNNNNNNNNNNNNNNNNNNNNNNNNNNNNNNNNNNNNNNNNNNNNNNNNNNNNNNNNNNNNNNNNNNNNNNNNNNNNNNNNNNNNNNNNNNNNNNNNNNNNNNNNNNNNNNNNNNNNNNNNNNNNNNNNNNNNNNNNNNNNNNNNNNNNNNNNNNNNNNNNNNNNNNNNNNNNNNNNNNNNNNNNNNNNNNNNNNNNNNNNNNNNNNNNNNNNNNNNNNNNNNNNNNNNNNNNCGAGGAAGACCAAUCGGCUUAAGGUCAGGAACAAAGUCAACACAAAACUCAAUUACCUCCUCAUUUCCAUAGCCCUUGGCGAUGCUUCCUUCUGGCCUAGCACGGUUACGAACAUAUUUCUUUAAUACUCCCAUGAACCUCUCGAAGGGGAACAUAUUGUGUAGAAAUACAGGACCGAGAACGAAAAUCUCUUCGACUAGGUGAACCAGGAGGUGCGUCAUAAUAUUGAAGAAGGAUGGCGGGAACACCAACUCGAAACUGACAAGACAUUGGAUCACAUCGUUCUGUAACCAUGGUAGAACUUCUGGAUUGAUUACCUUCUGAGAGAUUGCAUUGAGGAAUGCACAUAGCUUCACAAUGGCUACUCGAACAUUUUCCGGCAGGAGCCCCCUCAAAGCAAUCGGAAGCAAUUGCGUCAUAAUCACGUGGCAGUCGUGAGACUUCAGGUUUUGGAACUUUUUCUCCGCCAUGUUUAUUAUUCCUUUUAUAUUGGACGAGAAUCCAGACGGGACCUUCAUACUGCUCAGGCAUUCAAAAAAGAUGACCUUCUCUUCUUUGGUCAGAGCGUAGCUGGCACGACCUUGAAACCAUUCCGGAUGCCGGUCAUCAGGGUCUUUCAAACGUUGCUGGUCCUGCCGUGCUUCCUUUGUAUCAUUUGUCUUCCCAUACACGCCCAAGAAGCUUAGGAGGUUCACGCAAAUAUUCUUCGUAACGUGCAUCACGUCGAUUGCAGAGCGGACAUCUAGGACUUUCCAAUAUUCUAGCUCCCAGAAUAUAGAUUUCUUCUUCCACAUGGCUGCGUUCCCGUCUGCUCCCUUCGGAACUGAUUGUCCGCCAGGACCCUUUCCAAAGAUGACUUUCAAAUCCUUGACCAUAUCAAAUACCUCAGCACCAGUGCAUUCCGCAGGCUUCGGCCGGUGAUCUGCCUUGCCGUUGUAAUGCUUGCCUUUCUUUCUUACUGGAUGAAUUUUCGGAAGAAAUCGAUGAUGCCCAAGGUACACGUUCUUCUUACAAUUUGGCAAAUGUACACUUUCAGUCUCAUGUAAGCAGUGCGUGCAUGCAUUGUAUCCCUUAUUUGACAGUCCCGAAAGGUUACUAAGAGCAGGCCAAUCGUUGAUGGUUACGAAAAGCAACGCUCGUAGGUCAAAUUCCUCUUGUUUGUGCUCAUCCCACACACGGACACCACCCCACAGCUGUAAAAGUUCAUCAACUAAUGGCCUUAGGUACACAUCGAUGUCGUUGCCGGGUUGCUUCGGACCUUGGAUGAGCACUGGCAUCAUAAUGAACUUCCGCUUCAUGCACAACCAAGAAGGAAGGUUGUAGAUGCAUAGAGUCACGGGCCAGGUGCUAUGGCUGGAGCUCUGCUCGCCAAAAGGAUUCAUGCCAUCCGUACUUAGAGCAAAUCUUAUGUUCCUUGCGUCAGCUGCAAAAUCUUUGAACCAUCUGUCGAUCUUUCUCCAUUGCGUUCCAUCUGCGGUGUGUCUCAACUCCCCGUCCGACUUACGGUCCUCUUUGUGCCAUCGCAACAACUUGGCAUGCUCUUUGUUCCUGAACAGACGUUUCAACCGUGGUAUUAUAGGAGCAUACCACAUCACCUUGGCGGGAACCCUCUUCCUGGGUUUCUGGCCCUCAACAUCGUCACCAGGGUCAUCGCCUCUGAUCUUAUAACGCAAUGCAGUGCAUAUCGGGCAUUCAUUCAAAUUCUCGUAUUCACCGCGGUAGAGGAUGCAGUCGUUGAUGCAUGCAUGUAUCUUCAGAACCUCUAAACCUAGAGGGCAGACAACCUUCUUUGCUUCGUACGUACUGGCGGGCAACUCGUUAUCCUUUGGAAACAUACUCUUCAACAUUUUCAGCAAGUUUUCAAAUGCCGAGUCAGCUACACCUGCCUCUGCCUUCCAUUUCAGCAAAUCCAGUGUGCAGCCCAGCUUUUUCAGACCAUCAUCGCAUCCGGGGUACAGCGCCUUUCUGUGAUCCUCUAACAUGCGAUCCAAAUUCUCCCUCUCCUUUUCAGUUUCGCAGCGUCUCCGUGCAUCAGCAAUGGUCCGACCAAGAUCAUCAACGGGAUCAUCACGUGCCUCUUCUUCACCUUCCCCUUCACCUUCAGCAUCCUCCAUGAAAGUAUCACCGAGAUGAGCAAGAUAGCUUUCAUCGAUGAAAUCAUCCCCUUCUUCAUCUUCUUCCAUUAUAACCCCUCUUUCUCCAUGCUUGGUCCAACAAUUAUAGCUUGGCAUGAAACCGUGCCGAAGCAGAUGCAUGUGAACAUCUCUUGAGGAAGAGUAACCCUUCUGAUUCUUACAGAUAACACAUGGACAGAUAACAAAAAACCCCUGCUUGUUCGCAUUAGCCACUACGAGGAAAUCUUUCAAACCCGUAGUGAACUCGCCGGAGAGUCGGUUACCGUACAUCCAUUGCCGAUUCAUCUGCAUUAUUAUAAUAUAAAAUAUAUAAUUAACCAUCAUGCAUUUGUUAAACUAACUAGCUACAAACAAUAUAAAUUAAACAAUGAACUGCACACAUGCAUAUUUUAUCAAUGACACAUCAAAGGUUCAUCAAGUUGCUAACCGCGAUCGAGGAGUGUGGCUCCAACACUUCAUGUCAUGUUUGUUUCAUGCUCUUGGGGCAUUUCAUCAAACACCUUAUGUGCAUAAGAGGAACCAAAAGCAAACCUACACCCACUUGUGAAGAGAAUGGCUCCAAAUGGCUAAGUGUUGGCUGCUGGAUGGGUAUAUAUAGGGGAGGGGCUUUAGUUGCGGUUGGCUUGGCAAACCGUGACUAAAGGUGCCCGAAGGCCUUUAGUCGCGGUUGUCCUGGCCAACCGCGACUAAAGACCCUCACGUGCGCCAGCUGGCCACCGAGCGCCCUGAGCCCAGGCCUUUGGUCGCGGUUCACCUCCAGAACCGCGACUAAAGGUCCCAUUAGUCGCGGUUCCUACAGCUUCGCGACUUAUGGGGCUGGACGGAAGCUUGUUUUUCCACCAGUGUACUAGGUAAGGUGUCGUUCCAGUCAAAUUGAUGAAUUCAUCUUUUGUUACCUUUGUUAUAGGAAUAUAGGCUGCAUUUAUUAGUCAUAUCGAGCUCUCAAGGAGUCAAGAUCUUGUUAACUUACUAAUAAUUUCUAUAUACCUGCAGCGUUAUGGCCUAUGGUGCAGGGCAAAGACAACAAGGACGACAUGCGGCGGCGACGUGGCCAUGGUGAAGCUACUUCGUCCGGCUACCCCAUGGUUGGCGUGUCUGCCGUCCUCUCAAUCUAUCACACGUACGUCCGGUGCAUGCAUGGUGUCGGGCCGAAGAGCACACAAAUCUACAUCCAGGCCCUGGGCACUAGCAACCGCUGAUGCACUUAGCCACUUACCAAUGUAUUCCUAUUGUACGUAUAUAAUAAAGUGGUUAGUACGUCGACGUAGAAAUAGUUAGUAGCUUGCUUUGCACUCACACAAUCGAGUCAUGAUUGUUACUGAUGAUCAAAAUUUUAUGUAUUUUUUAUGCCGGAUGGGUUUACUACUUCUUCUUCGGUUGUAUAUAAAGCUUCCAAAAAAUUAGUAUAUAAUCCUCCAGAAUAAAUCAGUAUAUAGUCCUCCAAAAAAAUGAGUAUAUACACUUUGUAACGCAGCAUAUACCCCAUAAAAAAUGUAGUAUAACGCUGCAGAAAUAAGACAUACUCCUUUUCUAGUUGCAUAUACCCAAUCACAAAACUACACUGAAAUAAUUAGUAGUACAUACUCCUUUUCUAUUUUGGAAAGGAACGUCCAUUUCCCUCUUCAACAAGUGCUUUAUUUUUCUAGGGGUAGCCUUGUGUUUUUACUGCCAUGCGACGACAUUACAAAAUGUAUUACACCCAUUAUUCAUCUAAUUUUUUAUAUACCCUUUUAUGCAUACUUUGAAUUUAUCACUCAUUUGGGCGACCAGCCCGCUCUCUCAUUGCAGCGACUCGACUCUCACAUAAAGCCAGUAUAUACUCACGUAAAAAAAAGCAGUAUAGACUCCCUUACUGAAAAAGAACUAUAUACUCCCCUACCAAAAAAAGUAGUAUAUGCUCCAUUACCAAAAAGGCAGUAUAUACUCAUAUACAAAAGGUGGUAUAUACUGUCUUCCCAAAGUAGUAUAUAUCUUUUUCCUUGCGUUAGAGAAGUAGUAUAACCAGAACAGAUAGUUCAUACUUGUGUGCUGAAAAAAGUAGUAUAUAAAUAUAUAUGUAAGAGUGAGUAUGGUAGAUAUGUAUCGGUCCUUACAAAAAAAAUCAACCACUGUUAUUGUUUAUUUGCACCGAACUAACCUUAUCUGUAUGCUAGGAUCCUUGAAUCUCUCAAUCUGUUGAUGCACAUGCAUGCGUCGGCCGGUGGAGCAAUUAGCAACUAGAUCUAAUAACUGCCAACCUGUUCAGUCCAUGGGAGUACAUACUCCUGGGAGUAUAAAAGAGGAGUCUAUAUAUAUAUAUAUAUAUAUAUAUAUAUACGGUGGCGCUAUUGUGUGCGUGAGCGCAGAUUUACUUAUCGUGCGCGCCGGUCAUUGCGUGCGCCACUCGUAUUCCUAAUGAUGGUAAAAUUCCUGGCAGAAAUAGUAAUAUAAUUUAAUUGGUUACUGCCUGCCACCACCACGGUAGCGAUUUAAUUGGUUAGGUCUACUAGUAAAAAUGCAUAGCAGAAAAAGUAAAAGAGCUAAAAGUAUUACUGUUGGAUGCAUCGGUCCCCGCUUCGACUGCCUACUAGUAAAACACCUCAUAAAAGUAGUAAUAGGAUUACCCUACACGCAUCAGCCCCUUGCCAUACUUGUGAACAGGUAAACUUCAUGUGAAGAAUAGUACUGGAUGGUAACUGUGUUACCAUAGAACGGACACUUGCUAUUAGCUAGCUACAUGGUAAUUUUAUUACCGCUAACUUUCAUCGGUUUAAUACCUAAUCAUGUUACCACUUAUUUUCUUAGUAGUAUUGGAUGGUAACUAUGUUACCACAUGACGAAAAAAUUGCUAUUAGCUAAUAGCUACACGGUAAUUGCAUUACCACUCAUGUGUAGAAGCAUGAUACACGGUCUUUUUUCCAAUUACGUUUGGUCGAAGACGCAAGGGUUUGCUAAUCGCUAAAGUGGGGUCGAAGCAGUAAUAAGUUUCCAACCGUUACCAUGUUUCUUAAGGUAUGUUACGUAUGGGCGCAAGACAUGUUCUUUAAUAGGAGCGGGACAACGGUUGCUUAGACGGAGAAUGGCGCGCAGUCUGGCCGGAGCGUAGAAUUAGACUUCUGCGCUCAGGCUUAGUUUAGCACGUCUAUAUAUAUAUAUAUAUAUAUAUAUAUAUAUAUACAUACAUGUUAGUGGCCUCGACGCUGCUUCUCUAGGGUUUGGGGUCGCCUCGACACAACGCUUCAAGGGUUUGGGGUGGCCUCGACGACAACGUUUUUUUAACUUGAUAAAUUUGGGUGGCCUCGAGAGAGUUAAUUUGUCGGGUAGGGGCGCGGCGGGAGGGGGUAGGAGACCAACAUCGUUUUCUCUCUAGGGUUUGGGUGUCCUCGAGAGUUAUCGGGGAGGGGGUAUCGGUACCACCCCCUAGCUCGUGUUGAAGUUUCUUCUUUCUCCUCUAUUCCUUUCUUUCUUCUUCUCCUCUUCUUUUUCUUCUUCUCCCUCGAGAAAGGAAAAUANNNNNNNNNNNNNNNNNNNNNNNNNNNNNNNNNNNNNNNNNNNNNNNNNNNNNNNNNNNNNNNNNNNNNNNNNNNNNNNNNNNNNNNNNNNNNNNNNNNNNNNNNNNNNNNNNNNNNNNNNNNNNNNNNNNNNNNNNNNNNNNNNNNNNNNNNNNNNNNNNNNNNNNNNNNNNNNNNNNNNNNNNNNNNNNNNNNNNNNNNNNNNNNNNNNNNNNNNNNNNNNNNNNNNNNNNNNNNNNNNNNNNNNNNNNNNNNNNNNNNNNNNNNNNNNNNNNNNNNNNNNNNNNNNNNNNNNNNNNNNNNNNNNNNNNNNNNNNNNNNNNNNNNNNNNNNNNNNNNNNNNNNNNNNNNNNNNNNNNNNNNNNNNNNNNNNNNNNNNNNNNNNNNNNNNNNNNNNNNNNNNNNNNNNNNNNNNNNNNNNNNNNNNNNNNNNNNNNNNNNNNNNNNNNNNNNNNNNNNNNNNNNNNNNNNNNNNNNNNNNNNNNNNNNNNNNNNNNNNNNNNNNNNNNNNNNNNNNNNNNNNNNNNNNNNNNNNNNNNNNNNNNNNNNNNNNNNNNNNNNNNNNNNNNNNNNNNNNNNNNNNNNNNNNNNNNNNNNNNNNNNNNNNNNNNNNNNNNNNNNNNNNNNNNNNNNNNNNNNNNNNNNNNNNNNNNNNNNNNNNNNNNNNNNNNNNNNNNNNNNNNNNNNNNNNNNNNNNNNNNNNNNNNNNNNNNNNNNNNNNNNNNNNNNNNNNNNNNNNNNNNNNNNNNNNNNNNNNNNNNNNNNNNNNNNNNNNNNNNNNNNNNNNNNNNNNNNNNNNNNNNNNNNNNNNNNNNNNNNNNNNNNNNNNNNNNNNNNNNNNNNNNNNNNNNNNNNNNNNNNNNNNNNNNNNNNNNNNNNNNNNNNNNNNNNNNNNNNNNNNNNNNNNNNNNNNNNNNNNNNNNNNNNNNNNNNNNNNNNNNNNNNNNNNNNNNNNNNNNNNNNNNNNNNNNNNNNNNNNNNNNNNNNNNNNNNNNNNNNNNNNNNNNNNNNNNNNNNNNNNNNNNNNNNNNNNNNNNNNNNNNNNNNNNNNNNNNNNNNNNNNNNNNNNNNNNNNUGAAAACACUUUUUUUUGUUUUCUUUCUUGCUUUAUUUAUUUUAUUUUGUUUCUACUUGCAAUAAAAUACUUAUUGUUGUUUUUUUGUUUUGUUUUCUGCAUUAUUUAUUUUCUUUUGUUUUUUGCUUUAUUUUUUAAUUCUUUUUGCUUUUAGUUUUAGGAAAAUUAUAAACUUUCUAUUAGUGCCAUUACUUUUCAAAUUUGAAAACACUUUUUUGUUUUUUAGUUUUCUUUCUUGCUUUAUUUAUUUUAUUUUGUUUCUACUUACAACAAAAUACUUAUUGUUGCUAUUUUUAAUUAUUACGAAGGCCAAACCAUAAGACAUUAAAGCAUUUCAAAUGAACUCUGAAAAAGUUGAAAGUUGGCAUGGUAUCAUAAAUUGACCCACACAUAGCAUGUGCAUGUACAAAACGGACAAUGUUAUCAUACUCGUCAGUUACAAAGUUGGCAUGGUAUCAUCAUAAUAGUUGCGGGAGAAAGUCUUCACUUUUUCUUCGCUUGUGUCAUUUGCUUAUUGCGCCGUAACCAUGGAUAAUCUUCAUCGUUUAUCAGGAUGCUGGGGUCAGCCUUGACUUUAAAGGGAGGAAUUUCAUGAAACUUUUCAUAAUCUUCAGACAUGUCUGUCUUGUCCUCCUCUCCCACGAUGUCCCUUUUUCCUGAAAGAACUAUGUGGCGCUUUGGCUCAUCGUAUGAUGUAUUCGCUUCCUUAUCUUUUCUCUUUCUUGGUCUGGUAGACAUGUCCAUCACAUAGAUAACCUGUGCCACAUCAUUGGCUAGGACGAACGGUUCGUCAGUGUACCCAAGAUUUUUCGGAUCCACUGUUGUCGUUCCGUACUGUGGGUCUACAUGUACCCCGCCUCCUGACAGAUUGACCCAUUUGCACUUAAACAAAGGGACCUUAAAAUCAUGUCCUUAGUCAAGUUCCCAUAUGUCCACUAUGUAACCAUAAUAUGUGUCCUUUCCCCUCUCGGUUGUUGCAUCAAAGCGGACACCGCUGUUUUGGUUGGUGCUCUUUUGAUCUUGGUUAAUCGUGUAAAAUGUCUUCCCAUUUAUCUCAUAUCCUUUCCAAAUCGUAACAGUCGAAGAUGGUCCCCUGGAUAACAAGUACAUCUCAUCACAAACAGCGUUGUCACCUCUGAUACGUGCUUCCAACCAACUGCUGAAAGUCCUGAUGUGUUCACAUGUAAUUCAGUCGUCGCACUGCUCCGGGUGUUUGGAGCGCAGACUGUUCUUGUGUUCAUCCACAUACGGGGUCACCAAGGUAGAGUUCUGUAGAACUGUGUAGUGUGCUUGAGACCAAGAAUAUCUGUCCCUGCAUAUUAUUGAGUCCCUUCCAAGCAUGCCUUUUCCAGUCAGUCUCCCCUCAUACCGCGAUUUAGGGAGACCUAUCUUCUUAUGGCCAGGAAUGAAGUCAACACAAAACCCGAUGACAUCCUCUGUUUGAUGGCCCAUGGAGAUGCUUCCUUCUGGCCUAGCGCGAUGAGGGACAUAUUUCUUUAGGACUCCCAUGAACCUCUCAAAGGGGUACAUAUUGUGUAGAAAUACGGGGCCCAAAAUGACAAUCUCGUCAACUAGAUGAACUAGGACGUGCGUCAUGAUAUUGAAGAAGGAUGGUGGGAACACCAGCUCGAAACUGACAAGACAUUGCACCACAUCACUCCUUAGCCUUGGUAUGAUUUCUGGAUCGAUCACCUUCUGAGAGAUUGCAUUGAGGAAUGCACAUAGCUUCACAAUGGCUAAUCGGACGUUUUCCGGUAGAAGCCCCCUCAAUGCAACCGGAAGCAGUUGUGUCAUAAUCACGUGGCAGUCAUGAGACUUUAGGUUCUGAAACUUUUUCUUUGCCAUAUUUAUUAUUCCUUUUAUAUUCGACGAGAAGCCAGUCGGGACCUUCAUACUAAGCAGGCAUUCAAAGAAGAUUUCCUUCUCUUCUUUGGUAAGAGCAUAGCUGGCAGGACCUUCAUACUGCUUUGGAGGCAUGCCGUCUUUUUCGUGCAAAUGUUGCAGGUCCUCCCGUGCCUCAGCUGUAUCUUUUGUCUUCCCAUACACGCCCAAGAAGCCUAGCAGGUUCACGCAAAGGUUCUUCGUCACGUGCAUCACGUCGAUCGAAGAGCGGACCUCUAGGUCUUUCUAGUAGGGUAGGUCCCAAAAUAUAGAUUUCUUCUUCCACAUGGGUGCGUGUCCCCCAACGUCACUCGGAACAGCUAGUCUGCCGGGACCCUUUCCAAAGAUUACGUGUAAAUCAUUGACCAUAGCAAGUACGUGACCACCGGUACGCAUGGCGGGCUUCUUCCGGUGAUCUGCCUCGCCUUUGAAAUGCUUGCCUUUCUUUCGACAUUGAUGGUUGGUCGGAAGAAAUCGACGAUGGCCCAGGUACACAUUCUUCCUACAGCUUGCCAGGUAUAUACUAACGGUGUCAAGUAAACAGUGCGUGCAUGCGUGGUAUCCCUUGUUUGUCUGUCCUAAAAGGUUACUGAGAGCAGGCCAAUCGUUGAUGGUCACGAACAGCAACGCCUUUAGGUUAAAUUUCUCCUGUUUGUGCUCAUCCCACGUACGUACACCGUUUCCAUUCCACAGCUGUAAAAGUUCUUCAACUAAUGGCCUUAGGUACACAUCAAUGUCAUUGCCGGGUUGCUUAGGGCCUUGGAUGAGAACUGGCAUCAUAAUGAACUUCCGCUUCAUGCACAUCCAAGGAGGAAGGUUAUACAUACAUAGAGUCACGGGCCAGGUGCUGUGAUUGCUGCUCUGCUCCCCGAAAGGAUUAAUGCCAUCCGCACUUAAAGCAAACCAUACGUUCCUUGGCUCACUUGCAAACUCAUCCCAGUACUUUCUCUCAUUUUUCUCCAUUGCGACCCGUCAGCGGGUGCUCUCAACUUCCCGUCUUUCUUACGGUCCUCACUAUGCCAUCGCAUCAACUUGGCAUGCUCUCCGUUUCUGAACAGACGUUUCAACCGUGGUAUUAUAGGAGCAUACCACAUCACCACUACUAGGGAAAAGCCUAUACAUAGAAUCUUACCAGCAGCGCUCUUCAAAAUACAACGCUACUGCUACUUAGCAGCAGCGCGUGUCUGCCAAACACGCUGCUGACUUGGAAGUAGCAGUAGCGGGUGCAUCGCAUACAGCGCUACUGCUAUAGUUGCCAUGACCUUGCCCCCCCCCCCCCNNNNNNNNNNNNNNNNNNNNNNNNNNNNNNNNNNNNNNNNNNNNNNNNNNNNNNNNNNNNNNNNNNNNNNNNNNNNNNNNNNNNNNNNNNNNNNNNNNNNNNNNNNNNNNNNNNNNNNNNNNNNNNNNNNNNNNNNNNNNNNNNNNNNNNNNNNNNNNNNNNNNNNNNNNNNNNNNNNNNNNNNNNNNNNNNNNNNNNNNNNNNNNNNNNNNNNNNNNNNNNNNNNNNNNNNNNNNGCAAACGCGCUACAACUAUCCCUACCUUAUCCCCAUGCGCACGACCGGCCCUCUCACUCACACUCUCACUCUCGCCCACGUCAACCGUCGUCGUCCGUCGCCGCCGCCGCCGCCUUCGUCCGUCCGCCGCCGAGGUACUCCCCUCCUUCCGUCCCUCCUCCAUCCUCCUUGCACAUCCUCCCUCCGCCUGUGGCCGCCCCUCCUUCCUCCGCCGCUGCCCUCCUCCCUCCGCCUGCGGCCGCCCCUCCUCCCUCCUCCGACGGCAGCCCUCCUCCCACCGCCCUCGACCUCGCUGCCCCUAGCUACCUCUCCGUCGCCCCCCACCCCUGCCACUAGUUAGUACUAGAUUUAGUAGUAGUAGAUGUUAAUUUAGGGUUAGCUAGUACUAGAUGUUGCUUAGUUAGUACUAGAUUUUUAGUAGUAGUAGUGGUAGUUGAACUACUUUAGUUGUAGUUGAACUAGUUUAGUAAGUAAAUUAAUAAACGAGUUGAACUAGUUGAAUUAAUAGAACUAAUCUAUUUUUAGUAAGAUAAUUAAUAUAACUAGUUGAACUACUUUAUUUUUAGAAAGAACUAAUUUUUUUCUAUUUAUAUUAAGUUUAUAUUUAGUAAGAACUAGUUGAAUUAAUAAAACUAGUUGAACAUGUCAUGUUUGUUGUUAGUGAUAACUUAUAUGGUUUCAGGUGACCUCCGUCGUCCCCGUCACCGACCCCCUCCGACAUCCCCGUCGUCGUCCCAGUCACCGACCCCCUCCGACAUCGAGGUGAGACCAGCCAAAUAUCCUUGUAUAUCUUGUGUUGUUGCUCAAAUUGGAUAUGUGGUUGCCCAAGUGGCCGUUCAUGUAGUUUACAUCUCCGAGUGGCCUAUGUUUUGCCGGAGUGUUGAUUAAUUUCCGUUCCGACAAAUUUCAGGCGCUCGAUAUGUCCUUUUUUAGCAAAGGUCAUGCCGGAUUUUGUCGUGAAUUCUGGUAUGACUUGUGCUAGAAUAUGUACAAGUUUAAUCUUUGAAUUAUGAUUGUAGGAAAUGUCGUACUCGGACGACGAAGGUCUCCCGGGGGAGUGUAGCUGGUGCCACGACGAUCGAGGUAUGUGCGAUAGGUUCGUUCGGCUGGACGAAGAUCGGCGCUUCAACAUUAAGCUCGAGGAGACCUUCGAUUGUGAAAUGGUACGCAACAACGACAAGUGUUUUUUCUCCAUUAAGCAUGACUUCAACUAUUUCAACGUCUAAUUUUCAUAUUUUACAAUUCGACUAGCUUAUCCCAUGCCAUGCAAGACGCUAUGUCUUGGAGAGGAUGGGUUUUGAAGACCAUGAAAAUUUCAAAACAAAGAAAAUACACCUAAGGACCCAUCAUGAUAUGGAUUUUGAAGUAAACCUGUGCAAUGCUCAGAGCGCAACCCAUUUUGGUUGCCAAAAUUGGGAAGCACUUUGCAAAAUGUAUGGUUUUUAUGAGGGUAUGAUUGUCACCAUGGAUCUUGGUGAUCCUGACAGUGAGGAAGACAAUAUGGACAUUUGGGUCCUUGUUGAUACGCUUCCGAUUGUACCGCUAUGUGACUUUCUCAAACAUAGUUAUUAACUAAUUUAUAUUGUUUAUUUCAAAAUAGUUGAUAGCUUAUUUCCAUUGACAGCUUAUUUUGAUUCUUCAAAGACUGUGCGGAAGAUGGUAGAUAAAACCCACUACACCGAAGGCACCCAAUUAACGUAUAAGGAGAAAAAUCAUCUGAUCGCAUUUUGUACUCUUCUUGAGAAUUACAAUGACUAUAAUCGAACUCCUCCAGAUUAUGGUGAAUAUGUGCCACUAGUGCAUGUGUUGAACAACGAUAACUUAUCUGGAGAUACCCUGGUAAGAUUUUUUACUAUUACGACAUCCGUGUAUUUUUUGCAUACUUCUAAAACUAGUACAUCAUUGCUAACUACGAAGUUAUUAUUAUGUUUUUCAACAGAAACUCCCGAUGGAUUGUGUGCCUCAUCUGAUGUCUCUGCAUGGUCGCCUCUCAGUUCUGAACAUACUGCCAGGUAAAUCUACAGAGCUCACCUAUGCAUAUCAGAUUUCUAAAACCCGUGAACACAUGAUCAUCAGAGAAUGGAAGAAAUGUAUGGACAUUCGCAAGGAGGUUCUUGGAAGUAACAUUCAGCGAAACGUAAGAAUGGGAGACAGGCUAAUCUCCAUUCUCCAUAAUGGAGAGUCAGGGGCUAUCUUGUUUUUUGUUAUUUUACCUUAGAAAAUGUAGUAGGUCUUAAUCGAAUGUAAUAGGUCCUAUGAGGUACAAUAUGUUUAUUAUGUGGUAAUGUGUUAGAGUUGAUAAUGAUGAUCUUGAGGAGGUGUUAUGUGAUGUCAAUGAUGAAAACGAUGAUAUUGAGGAGGUGUUAUAUGACAAUGAUGUAUUAUGAUGCUAAGUUGUUAAUGAUAUGAUGAUGAUGAUGAUAUUAUUAUAUCAUUGGGUGAAAGAACCGUGGAUUAGUUUCAAGUGGAUGGACAUCCACUUGAAACUAGUCCACGGUUCUUUCACCCCAUGAUGUAAUAACUCAUUAUGAUGUAAAAACAAUCUCUAAAUUCCUGUUGUAUGAAAACUUGUGUAAGGGUGUAUGAAUACAACAUGAAAAAGAAAAGAAAUAAAAUACUAAAUAAUAGUAGUAGCGCGGGUAAGGAGAAGCGCUACUACUAAUUACCAGUAGCGAUGUUCUAAAGAACCGCUGCUACUAAGUCAAUUUAGCAGUAGCGCGUGUCAAGACGCGCUAUUGCUAAGCAUUAGCUGUAGCGCCUUAUCAGUAGCGCUCCUGCCCGCGCUACUGAUAGGCCCAAAACCCGCGCUGCUGCUAGGCUUUUCCCUAGUAGUGCACCUUCGCAGGAACCCUCUUCCUGGGGGGCUCGCCGUCAACAUCACCAGGGUCAUCUCGUCUGAUCUUAUACCAUAAUGCACCGCAUACCAGGCAUGCGUUCAGAUCCUUAUAUGCACCGCGGUAGAGGAUGCAGUCAUUAGGGCAUGCAGGUAUCUUCUGCACCUCCAAUCCUAGAGGGCAUACGACCUUCUUUGCUGCGUAUGUACUGUCGGGCAAUUCGUUAUCCUUUGGAAGCUUCUUCUUCAAUAUUUUCAGUAGCUUCUCAAAUCCUUUGUCAGGCACAGCAUUCUCUUAAAGGAAAUAUGCCCUAGAGGCAAUAAUAAAGUUAUUAUUUAUUUCCUCAUAUCAUGAUAAAUGUUUAUUAUUCAUGCUAGAAUUGUAUUAACCGGAAACAUGAUACAUGUGUGAAUACAUAGACAAAACUAUAGUCACUAGUAUGCCUCUACUUGACUAGCUCAUUAAUCAAAGAUGGUUAUGUUUCCUGACCAUAGACAUGUGUUGUCAUUUGAUUAGUGGGAUCACAUCAUUAAGAGAAUGAUGUGAUUGACAUGACCCAUUCUGUUAGCCCAGCACUUGAUCGUUUAGUAUACUGCUAUUGCUUUCUUCAUGACUUAUACAAAGUUCCUGCAACUAUGAGAUUGUGCAACUCCCGUUUACCGGAAGAACACUUUGUGUGCUACCAAACAUCACAACGUAACUGGGUGAUUAUAAAGGUGCUCUACAGGUGUUUCCGAAGGUACAUGUUGGGUUGGCAUAAUUCGAGAUUAGGAUUUGUCACUCCGAUUGUCGGAGAGGUAUCUCUGGGCCCUCUCGGAAAUACUCAUCACAUAAGCCUUGCAAGCAUGUAACUAAUGAGUUAGUUAUGAGAUGACGUAUUACGAAACGAGUAAAGAGACUUGCCGGUAACGAGAUUGAACUAGGUAUUGGAUACCGACGAUCAAAUCUCGGGCAAGUAACAUACCGAUGACAAAGGGAACAAAGUAUGUUGUUAUGCGGUUUGACCGAUAAAGAUCUUCGUAGAAUAUGUAGGAACCAAUAUGGGCAUCCAGGUCCCGCUAUUGGUUAUUGACCGAGAAUGGUUUUAGGUCAUGACUACAUAGUUCUCAAACCCGUAGGGUCCGCACGCUUAACUUUUUGAUGAUAGUUUUAUUAUGAGUUUAUAAGUUUUGAUGUACCAAAGUUUGUUCGGAGUUCCGGAUGUGAUCACGGAUAUGAUGAGGAGUCUCGGAAUGCUUGAGCCAUAAAGAUUGAUAUAUUGGACGACUAUAUUCGGACACCGGAAAGGUUCCGGGAGUUUUCGGAGAAAACCGGAGUGCCCGGGGGGUUACCGAAACCCCCCGGGAGAGUUAAUGGGCCACAUGGGCCUAGGUGGGAAGAGAAAGGGGCGGCCAGGGUGAGCCGCGCGCCCCCUCUCCCUCUAGUCCGAAUUGGACUAGGAGGGGGGGCGGCGCCCCCUUUCCUUCCCCCCCUCUCUUCCUUCCUUCCCCCUCCUAGUAGGAGUAGGAAAGGAGGAAUCCUACUCCUACUAGGAGGAGGAUUCCUCCUCCCUUGCGCGCCCCAAGGGGCCGGCCGGCCUCCCCCUCCCUCCUUUAUAUACGGGGGCAGGGGGCACCCCAUAGACACACAAGUUGAUCUACGGAUCGUUCCUUAGCCGUGUGCGGUGCCCCCUUCCACCAUAUUCCACCUCGGUCAUAUCGUCGCGAAGCUUAGGCGAAGUCCUGCGCCGGUAGAACAUCAAGAUCGUCACCACGCCGUCGUGCUGACGGAACUCUCCCUCGACACUCGGCUGGAUCGGAGUUCGAGGGACGUCAUCGAGCUGAAUGUGUGCUGAACUCGGAGGCUCCGUACGUUCGGUUCUUGGAUCGGUCGGAUCGUGAAGACGUAUGACUACAUCAACCGCGUUGUCAUAACGCUUCCGCUUACGGUCUACGAGGGUACAUGGACAUACACUCUCCCCUCUCGUUGCUAUGUCAUCACCAUGAUCUUGCGUGUGCGUAGGAAAAUUUUGAAAUUACUACGUUCCCCGACAGUGGUAUCAGAGCCUAGGUUUUAUGCGUUGAUGUUAUAUGCACGAGUAGAACACAAGUGAGUUGUGGACGAUAUAAGUCAUACUGCCUACCAGUGUGUCAUACUUUGGUUCAGCGGUAUUGUGAGAUGAAGCGGCCCGGACCGACAUUACGGGUACGCUUACGCGAGACUAGUUUCACCGUUAUGAGCACUCGUGCUUAAAGGUGGCUGGCGGGUGUCUGUCUCUCUCACUUUAGUUGAACCGAGUGUGGCUACGCCCGGCCCUUGUGAAGGUUAAAACGGAGUCUAUUUGACAAACUAUCGUUGUGGUUUUGAUGCGUAGGUAAGAACGGUUCUUGCUAAGCCCGUAGCAUCCACGUAAAAUUUGCAACAACAAAGUAGAGGACGUCUAACUUGUUUUUGCAGGGCAUGUUGUGAUAUGAUAUGGUCAAGACGUGAUGCUAUAUUUUAUUGUAUGAGAUGAUCAUGUUUUGUAACCGAAGUUAUCGGCAACUGGCUGGAGCCAUAUGGUUGUCGCUUUAUUGUAUGAAAUGCAAACGCCCUGUAAUUGCUUUACUUUAUCUCUAAGCGGUAGCGAUAGUCGUAGAAGCAAUAGAUGGCGUAAACGACAACGAUGCUACGAUGGAGAUCAAGGUGUCGCGCCGGUGACGAUGGUGAUCAUGACGGUGCUUCGAAGAUGGAGAUCACAAGCACAAGAUGAUGAUGGCCAUAUCAUAUCACUUAUAUUGAUUGCAUGUGAUGUUUAUCCUUUAUGCAUCUUAUCUUGCUUUGAUUGACGGUAGCAUUUUAAGAUGAUCUCUCACUAAAAUUAUCAAGUAGUGUUCUCCCUGAGUAUGCACCGUUGCCAAAGUUCAUCGUGCCGAGACACCACGUGAUGAUCGGGUGUGAUAAGCUCUACGUCCAUCUACAACGGGUGCAAGCCAGUUUUGCACACGCAGAAUACUCAGGUUAAACUUGACGAGCCUAGCAUAUGCAGAUAUGGCCUCGGAACACAGAGACCGAAAGGUCGAGCGUGAAUCAUAUAGUAGAUAUGAUCAACAUAAUGAUGUUCACCAUUGAAAACUACUCCAUCUCACGUGAUGAUCGGUUAUGGUUUAGUUGAUUUGGAUCACGUGAUCACUUAGAUGACUAGAGAGAUGUCUGUCUAUGUGGGAGUUCUUAAGUAAUAUGAUUAAUUGAACUUAAAUUUAUCAUGAACUUAGUACCUGAUAGUAUCUUGCUUGUCUAUGUUUGUUUGUAGAUAGAUGGCUCGUGCUGUUGUUCCGUUGAAUUUUAAUGCGUUCCUUGAGAAAGCAAAGUUGAAAGAUGAUGGUAGCAAUUACACGGACUGGGUCCGUAACCUGAGGAUUAUCCUCAUUGUUGCACAGAAGAGUUACGUCCUGGAAGCACCGCUGGGUGCCAGGCCUGCUGCUGAUGCAACUGACGACGUUAAGAACGUCUGGCAGAGCAAAGCUGAUGACUACUCUAUAGUUCAGUGUGCCAUGCUUUACGGCUUAGAACCGGGUCUUCAACGACGUUUUGAACGUCAUGGAGCAUAUGAGAUGUUCCAGGAGUUGAAGUUAAUAUUUCAAGCAAAUGCCCGGAUUGAGAGAUAUGAAGUCUCCAAUAAGUUCUAUAGCUGCAAGAUGGAGGAGAAUAGUUCUGUCAGUGAACAUAUACUCAGAAUGUCUGGGUAUAACAAUCACUUGAUUCAACUGGGAGUUAAUCUUCCUGAUGAUAGUGUCAUUGACAGAAUUCUUCAAUCACUGCCACCAAGCUACAAGAGCUUUGUGAUGAACUAUAAUAUGCAAGGGAUGAACAAGACUAUUCCCGAGCUCUUCGCGAUGCUGAAAGCCGCAGAGGUAGAAAUCAAGAAGGAGCAUCAAGUGUUGAUGGUCAACAAGACCACUAGUUUCAAGAAGAAGGGCAAAGGAAAGAAGAAGGGGAACUUCAAAAAGAACGGCAAGCAAGUUGCUGCUCAAGAGAAGAAACCCAAGUCUGGACCUAAGCCUGAAACUGAGUGCUUCUACUGCAAGCAGACUGGUCACUGGAAGCGGAACUGCCCCAAGUAUUUGGCGGAUAAGAAGGAUGGCAAAGUAAACAAAGGUAUAUGUGAUAUACAUGUUAUUGAUGUGUACCUAACUAGAGCUCGUAGUAGCACCUGGGUAUUUGAUACUGGUUCUGUUGCUAAUAUUUGCAACUCGAAACAGGGACUACGGAAUAAGCGAGCACUGGCCAAGGACGAGGUGACGAUGCGCGUGGAAAACGGUUCCAAAGUCGAUGUGAUCGCGGUCGGCACGCUACCUCUACAUCUACCAUCGGGAUUAGUUUUAGACCUAAAUAAUUGUUAUUUGGUGCCAGCGUUGAGCAUGAACAUUAUAUCUGGAUCUUGUUUGAUGCAAGACGGUUAUUCAUUUAAAUCAGAGAAUAAUGGUUGUUCUAUUUAUAUGAGUAAUAUCUUUUAUGGUCAUGCACCCUUGAAGAGUGGUCUAUUUUUAUUGAAUCUCGAUAGUAGUGAUACACAUAUUCAUAUUGUAGAAGCCAAAAGAUGCAGAGUUGAUAAUGAUAGUGCAACUUAUUUGUGGCACUGCCGUUUGGGUCAUAUCGGUGUACAACGCAUGAAGAAACUCCAUACUGAUGGACUUCUGGAAUCACUUGAUUAUGAAUCACUUGGUACUUGCGAACCGUGCCUUAUGGGCAAGAUGACUAAAACACCGUUCUCCGGAACUAUGGAGAGAGCAACAGAUUUGUUGGAAAUCAUACAUACAGAUGUAUGUGGUCCGAUGAAUGUUGAGGCUCGUGGCGGAUAUCAUUAUUUUCUCACCUUCACUGAUGAUUUAAGCAGAUAUGGGUAUAUCUACUUAAUGAAGUACAAGUCUGAAACAUUUGAAAAGUUCAAAGAAUUUCAGAGUGAAGUAGAAAAUCAUCGUAACAAGAAAAUAAAGUUUCUACGAUCUGACCGUGGAGGAGAAUAUUUGAGUUACGAGUUUGGUUUACAUUUGAAACAAUGCGGAAUAGUUUCGCAACUCACGCCACCUGGAACACCACAACGAAAUGGUGUGUCCAAACGUCGUACUCGUACUUUACUUGAUAUGGUGCGAUCUAUGAUGUCUCUUACCGAUUUACCGCUAUCGUUUUGGGGUUAUGCUUUAGAGACGGCCGCAUUCACGUUAAAUAGGGCACCAUCAAAAUCCGUUGAGAUGACGCCUUAUGAACUGUGGUUUGGCAAGAAACCAAAGUUGUCGUUUCUUAAAGUUUGGGGCUGCGGUACUUAUGUGAAGAAACUUCAACCAGAUAAGCUCGAACCCAAAUCGGAGAAAUGUGUCUUCGUAGGAUACCCAAAGGAGACUAUUGGGUACACCUUCUAUCACAGAUCUGAAGGCAAGAUUUUCGUUGCUAAAUUCGGAUCCUUUCUAGAGAAGGAAUUUCUCUCGAAAGAAGUGAGUGGGAGGAAAGUAGAACUUGAUGAGAUAACUGUAUCUACUCCCUUAUUGGAAGGUAGUUCAUCACGAGAACUGGUUCCCAUGACAACUACACCAAUUAUUGAGGAAGCUAAUAAUAUUGAUCAUGAAACUUCAGAUCAAGUUUCUGCUGAACCUCGUAGGUCUACCAGAGUAAGAUCCGCACCAGAGUGGUACGGUAAUCCUAUUCUGGAAGUCAUGUUACUUGACCAUGAUGAACCUACGAACUAUGAGGAACCGAUGAUGAGCCCAGAUUCCGCAAAAUGGCUAGAGGCCAUGAAAUCUGAGAUGGGAUCCAUGGAUGAAAACAAAGUAUGGACUUUGGUUGACUUGCCCGAUGAUCGGCAAGCCAUUGAGAAUAAAUGGAUCUUUAAGAAGAAGACUGACGCUGAUGGUAAUGUUACUGUCUAUAAAGCUCGACUUGUUGCGAAAGGUUUUCGACAAGUUCAAGGGGUUGACUAUGAUGAGACUUUCUCACCCGUAGCGAUGCUUAAGUCUGUCCGAAUCAUGUUGGCUAUUGCUGCAUUUCAUGAUUAUGAAAUUUGGCAAAUGGAUGUCAAAACUGCAUUCUUGAAUGGAUUUCUAGAAGAAGAGUUGUAUAUGAUGCAGCCGGAAGGUUUUGUUGAUCCAAAAGGUGCUGACAAAGUGUGUAAGCUCCAAUGUUCCAUUUAUGGACUGGUGCAAGCAUCUCGGAGUUGGAAUAAACGUUUUGACAGUGUGAUCAAGGCAUAUGGUUUUAUACAGACUUUUGGAGAAGCCUGUAUUUACAAGAAAGUGAGUGGGAGCUCUGUAGCAUUUCUAGUUUUAUAUGUUGAUGACAUAUUAUUAAUUGGAAAUGAUAUAGAAUUUCUGGAGAGCAUAAAGGGAUACUUGAAUAAAAGUUUUUCAAUGAAAGACCUCGGUGAAGCUGCUUACAUAUUGGGCAUCAAGAUCUAUAGAGAUAGAUCAAGACGCUUAAUAGGACUUUCACAAAGCACAUACCUUGACAAAAUUUUGAAAAAGUUCAAAAUGGAUCAGGCAAAGAAAGGAUUCUUGCCUGUGCUACAAGGUGUGAAGUUGAGUCAAACUCAAUGCCCGACCACAUCAGAAGAUAGAGAGAAAAUGAAAAAUGUUCCCUAUGCUUCAGCCAUAGGCUCUAUCAUGUAUGCAAUGCUGUGUACCAGACUUGACGUAUGCUUAGCAAUAAGCUUGGCAGGAAGGUACCAAAGUAAUCCAGGAGUGGAUCACUGGACAGCGGUCAAGAACAUCCUUAAAUACCUGAAAAGGACUAAGGAUAUAUUUCUCGUAUAUGUAGGUGACAAAGAGCUCGUCGUAAAUGGUUACGUCGAUGCAAGCUUUGACACUGAUCCAGACGAUUCUAAAUCGCAAACCGGAUACGUGUUUAUAUUAAACGGUGGAGCUGUAAGUUGGUGCAGUUCUAAACAAAGCGUCGUGGCGGGAUCUACAUGUGAAGCGGAGUACAUAGCUGCUUCUGAAGCAGCAAAUGAAGGAGUCUGGAUGAAGGAGUUCAUUUCCGAUCUAGGUGUCAUACCUAGUGCAUCGGGACCAAUGAAGAUCUUCUGUGACAAUACAGGUGCAAUUGCUUUGGCAAAGGAAUCCAGAUUUCACAAGAGGACCAAGCACAUCACGAGACGCUUAAAUUCCAUUCGGGACCAAGUCCAAGUGGGAGACAUACAGAUUUGCAAGAUACAUACGGAUCUGAAUAUUGCAGACCCGUUGACUAAGCAUCUCUCACGAGCAAAACAUGAUCAGCACCAAGACUCCAUGGGUGUUAGAAUCAUUAUUGUGUAAUCUAGAUUAUUGACUCUAGUGCAAGUGGGAGACUAAAGGAAAUAUGCCCUAGAGGCAAUAAUAAAGUUAUUAUUUAUUUCCUCAUAUCAUGAUAAAUGUUUAUUAUUCAUGCUAGAAUUGUAUUAACCGGAAACAUGAUACAUGUGUGAAUACAUAGACAAAACUAUAGUCACUAGUAUGCCUCUACUUGACUAGCUCAUUAAUCAAAGAUGGUUAUGUUUCCUGACCAUAGACAUGUGUUGUCAUUUGAUUAGUGGGAUCACAUCAUUAAGAGAAUGAUGUGAUUGACAUGACCCAUUCUGUUAGCCUAGCACUUGAUCGUUUAGUAUACUGCUAUUGCUUUCUUCAUGACUUAUACAAAGUUCCUGCAACUAUGAGAUUGUGCAACUCCCGUUUACCAAAAGAACACUUUGUGUGCUACCAAACGUCACAACGUAACUGGGUGAUUAUAAAGGUUCUCUACAGGUGUUUCCGAAGGUACAUGUUGGGUUGGCAUAAUUCGAGAUUAGGAUUUGUCACUCCGAUUGUCGGAGAGGUAUCUUUGGGCCCUCUCGGUAAUACUCAUCACAUAAGCCUUGCAAGCAUGUAACUAAUGAGUUAGUUAUGAGAUGACGUAUUACGGAACGAGUAAAGAGACUUGCCGGUAACGAGAUUGAACUAGGUAUUGGAUACCAACGAUCAAAUCUCGGGCAAGUAACAUACCGAUGACAAAGGGAACAAAGUAUGUUGUUAUGCGGUUUGACCGAUAAAGAUCUUCAUAGAAUAUGUAGGAACCAAUAUGGGCAUCCAGGUCCCGCUAUUGGUUAUUGACCGAGAAUGGUUUUAGGUCAUGACUACAUAGUUCUCGAACCCGUAGGGUCCGCACGCUUAACGUUUCGAUGAUAGUUUUAUUAUGAGUUUAUAAGUUUUGAUGUACCGAAGUUUGUUCGGAGUCCCAGAUGUGAUCACAGACAUGACGAGGAGUCUUGGAAUGGUCGAGACAUAAAGAUUGAUAUAUUGGACGACUAUAUUCGGACACCGGAAAGGUUCCGGGAGUUUUCGGAGAAAACCGGAGUGCCGGGGGGGUUACCGGAACCCCCCGGGAGAGUUAAUGGGCCACAUGGGCCUAGGUGGGAAGAGAGAGGUGCGGCCAGGGUGGGCCGCGCGCCCCCUCUCCCUCUAGUUCGAAUUGGACUAGGAGGGGGGGCGGCGCCCCCCUUUCCUUCCCCCCCUCUCUUCCUUCCUUCCCCCUCCUAGUAGGAGUAGGAAAGGAGGAAUCCUACUCCUACUAGGAGGAGGAUUCCUCCUCCCUUGGAGCGCCCCAAGGGGCUGGCCGGCCUCCCCCUCCCUCCUUUAUAUACGAGGGCAGGGGGCACCCCAUAGACACACAAGUUGAACUACGGAUCGUUCCUUAGCCGUGUGCGGUGCCCCCUUCCACCAUAUUCCACCUCGGUCAUAUUGUCGCGAAGCUUAGGCGAAGCCCUGCGCCGGUAGAACAUCAAGAUCGUCACCACGCCGUCGUGCUGACGGAACUCUCCCUCGACACUCGGCUGGAUCGGAGUUCGAGGGACGUCAUCGAGCUGAACAUCUGCUGAACUCGGAGGCUCCGUACGUUAGGUGCUUGGAUCGGUCGGAUCGUGAAGACGUACGACUACAUCAACCGCGUUGUCAUAACGCUUCCGCUUACGGUCUACGAGGGUACGUGGACAUACACUCUCCCCUCUCGUUGCUAUUUCAUCACCAUGAUCUUGCUUGUGCGUAGGAAAAUUUUGAAAUUACUACGUUCCCCAACAUCUCUGCCUUCCACUGCAGCAAUUCCAGUACGGUACCGAGCUUUGUGUUGCCAUCUUCGCAAUUGGGGUACAACCCUUUUUUUUGGUCCUCUAGCAUGCGAUCGAACUUCAGCUUCUCCUUUUGACUUUUGCAUUGCGUCCUUGCAUCGACAAUGACCCGGCGGAGAUCAUCAUCAUCGGGCACAUCGUCUGGUUCCUCUUGAUCUUCAGCAGCUUCGCCUGUUGCAGCAUCAUCGUGCACAUCGUCUGGUUCCUCUUGAUCUUCAGGAGCAUCACCGUAUUCAGGGGCACAUAGUUGUCAUCGUACUCUUCUUCACCGUCUUCCAUCAUAACCCCUAUUUCUCCGUGCCUCAUCCAAACAUUAUAGUGUGGCAUGAAACCCUUGUAAAGCAGGUGGGUGUGGAGGAUUUUCCGGUCAGAGUAAGACUUCGUAUUCCCACAUAUAGGACAUGGACAACACAUAAAACCAUUCUGCUUGUUUGCCUCAGCCACUUCGAGAAAAUCAUGCACGCGCUUAAUGUACUCGGAGGUGUGUCUUGAACCGUACAUCCAUUGCCGGUUCAUCUGCGUGCAUUAUAUAAUGAAGUGACCAAAUUAAUAGAAGUUCAUCAUCACAUUAAAACCAAAGUACAUACAUAGUUCUCAUCUAACAACAUAAAGCUCUGCAGAGCAUCUAAAUUAAUUAAACCAUACACUGAAACUAUGUAAAACAUUUCAAUGCGAAAACAAAUGCAACCAUAAUCGCAACCAAUGUAACAACUGAUCCAACGGCAUAAUGAUACCAAGCCUCAGUAUGAAUGGCAUAUUUUCUAAUCUUUCUAAUCUUCAAGCGCAUUGCAUCCAUCUUGAUCUUGUGAUCAUCGACGACAUCCCCAACAUGCAACUCCAAUAUCAUCUUCUCCUCCUCAAUUUUUCUAAUUUUUUCCUUCAAGAAAUUGUUUUCUUCUUCAACUGAAUUUAACCUCUCGACAAUAGGGUCGGUUGGAAUUUCCGGUUCAACAACCUCCUAGAUAAAUAAAAUCUAUGUCACGUUGGUCGGCAUAAUUGUCAUAAACAAUAAAUGAACCAAUAGUUAUGAAAAGAUAAUAUAUACCACAUCCGAAUCAUAGACAGGACGAGGGCCGACGGGGGCGGAUACCAAAACCAUCGCACUAUAUAAGAUGCAAUAAUAAAAGUAAGAAAAUAAUACAAGUAUCUAUCUAAACAUACAAGUAAGAAUAUUUUUCCUUUCAGAAAGAAGAUAAGAACAAGAGGCUCACCACGGUGGUGCCGGCGAUGAGAUCGGCGCGGGUGAUCGACGACGAUGAAGACAAGGACGGGGCGUGACGGACCGCUAAACCUAGACAAAUAUUGAGGAAAAUGGAGCUUGGCGGUCGAGCUUGGAGGGGAGAAAGCUUAAGUAGUGUGGCUCGGGCAUUCCAUCGAACACCUCGUGUGCAUAGGAGGUGAGCUAGAGCACCACAAAGCUCUCCCCUCGCCGGCCACGAAAAACAGAGCACUGGGAGUGCUCUGCUCGCGAGCGGGGGGUAUAUAUAGGCACCACCAUUGGUCCCGGUUGGUCGCACGAACCGGGACUAAAGGUUGGCCUUUGGUCCCGGUUCGUGCCACCAACUGGGACCAAUGGUGGUGGGCCAGGAGCGAGGCCCAUUGGUCCCGGUUCGUCCCUCCAACCGGGACCAAAAGGUCCAGACAAACCGGGACCAAUGGCCCACGUGUUGGGUUUCGUAGUAAUUUCAAAAAAUUUCCUACGCACACGCAAGAUCAUGUGAUGCAUAGCAACGAGGGGAGAGUGUUGUCUACGUACCCAACGCAGACCGACUGCGGAAGCGAUGACACGACGUAGAGGAAGUAGUCGUACGUCUUCACGAUCCAACCGAUCAAGCACCGAAACUACGGCACCUCCGAGUUCGAGCACACGUUCAGCUCGAUGACGAUCCCCGGACUCCGAUCCAGCAAAGUGUCGGGGAAGAGUUCCGUCAGCACGACGGCGUGGUGACGAUCUUGAUGAACUACAGCAGCAGGGCUUCGCCUAAACUCCGCUACAGUAUUAUCGAGGUAUAUGGUGGCAGGGGCACCGCACACGGCUAAGGAAUAGAUCACGUGGAUCAACUUGUGUGUAUAGAGGUGCCCCCUGCCUCCGUAUAUAAAGGAGGAGAGGAGGGGAGGCUGGCCGGCCAAGGAGGGGAGGCGCAGGAGAGUCCUACUCCCUCUGGGAGUAGGAUUCCCCCCAAUCCUAGUCCAACUAGGAUUCCUCGGAGGGGAAGGGAGAGAGGGGGGCCGGCCACCUUCUCCUAGUCCUAAUAGGACUAGGGGAGGGGGAAGUGGCGCAGCCACCUUGGGCUGCCCCUUUCUCCUUUCCACUAAGGCCCAUGAAGGCCCAUAUGGCUCCCGGGGGGUUCCGGUAAUCCUCCCGGUACUCCGGUAAAAUCCCGAUUUCACCCGGAACACUUCCGAUGUCCAAACAUAGGCUUCCAAUAUAUCAAUCUUUAUGUCUCGACCGUUUCGAGACUCCUCGUCAUGUCCAUGAUCACAUCCGGGACUCCAAACAACCUUCGGUACAUCAAAAUGCAUAAACUCAUAAUGUAACUGUCAUCGUAACCUUAAGCGUGCGGACCCUACGGGUUCGAGAACAAUGUAGACAUGACCGAGACACGUCUCCGGUCAAUAACCAAUAGCGGGACCUGGAUGCCCAUAUUGGCUCCUACAUAUUCUACGAAGAUCUUUAUCGGUCAGACCGCAUAACAACAUACGUUGUUCCCUUUGUCAUCGGUACGUUACUUGCCCGAGAUUCGAUCGUCGGUAUCCAAUACCUAGUUCAAUCUCGUCACCGGCAAGUCUCUUUACUCGUUCUAUAAUGCAUCAUCCCGUAACCAACUCAUUGGUCACAUUGCUUGCAAGGCUUAUAAUGAUGUGCAUUACCGAGAGGGCCCAGAGAUACCUCUCCGACAAUCGGAGUGACAAAACCUAAUCUCGAAAUACGCCAACUCAACAUGUACCUUCGGAGACACCUGUAGUACUCCUUUAUAAUCACCCAGUUAAGUUGUGACGUUUGGUAGUACCCAAAGUGUUCCUCCGGUAAACGGGAGUUGCAUAAUCUCAUAGUUACAGGAACAUGUAUAAGUCAUGAAGAAAGCAAUAGCAACAUACUAAACGAUCAAGUGCUAAGCUAACGGAAUGGGUGAAGUCAAUCACAUCAUUCUCCUAAUGAUGUGACCCCGUUAAUCAAAUGACAACUCUUUUGUCCAUGGCUAGGAAACAUAACCAUCUUUGAUAAACGAGCUAGUCAAGUAGAGGCAUACUAGUGACACUAUGUUUGUCUAUGUAUUCACACAUGUAUUAUGUUUCUGGUUAAUACAAUUCUAGCAUGAAUAAUAAACAUUUAUCAUGAAAUAAGGAAAUAAAUAAUAACUUUAUUAUUGCCUCUAGGGCAUAUUUCCUUCAGUCUCCCACUUGCACUAGAGUCAAUAAUCUAGUUCACAUCGUCAUGUGAUUUAACAACAAUAUUCAUAUCUGUAUAUGAUUAACACCCAUAGUUCACAUUAUCAUGUGACCAACACCCAAAGGGUUUACUAGAGUAAAUAAUCUAGUUCACAUCUCUAUGUGAUUAACACCCAAAGAGUACUAAGGUGUGAUCAUGUUUUGCUCGUGAAAGAAGCUUAGUCAAUGGGUCUGUCACAUUCAGAGCCGUAUGCAUUUUGCAAAUAUUUUAUGUCUACAAUGCUCUGCACGGUGCUACUCUAGCAAUUGCUCCCACUUUCAAUAUGUAUCCAGAUUGAGACUUAGAGUCAUCUGGAUCGGUGUGAAAACUUGCACCGAGGUAACUUUUACGACGGGCUCUUUUAUCACCUCCAUAAUCGAGAAAUAUUUCCUUAGUCCUCACUAAGGAUAUUCUUGACCAAUGUCGAGUGAUCUACUCCUAGAUCACUAUUGUACUCCCUUGUCAAAUACUGAGCAAGGUAUACAAUAGUUCUGGUACAUAGCAUAGCAUACUUUAUAGAACCUAUGACUGAGGCAUAGGGAAUGACUUUUCAUUUUUUCUAUUUUCUGUUGUGGUCGGGAUUUGAGUCUUACUCAAUUUCAUACCUUUGCAACACAGGCAAGAACUCUUUCUUUGACUGUUCCAUUUUGAACUAUUUCAAAAUCUUGCCAAGGUAUGUACUCAUUGAAAAUCUUAUCAAGCGUCUUGAUCUAUCUCAAUAUAUCUUGAUGCUCAAUAUGUAAGUAGCUUUUACUGAGGUCUUUUCCUUUUAAAGAACUCCUUUAAAACACUCCUUUAUGCUUUGCAGAAAAAUUCUACAUCAUUUCUGAUCAACAAUAUGUCACUCGUAUAUACUAAUCAGAAAGGCUAUAGUGCUCCCACUCACUUUAUUGUAAAUACAGGCUUCUCAAAAAGUCUGUAUAAAACCAUAUGCUUUGAUCAACUCAUCAAAGCGUAUAUUCCAACUCCGAGAGGCUUGCACCAGUCCAUAGAUGGAUCGCUGGAGCUUGCACAUUUUUUUAGCACCUUUAGGAUUGACAAAACCUUCUGGUUGCAUCAUAUACAACUCUUCUUUAAUAAAUCCAUUAAGGAAUGCAGUUUUGAUAUCCAUUUGCCAGAUUUCAUAAAAUGUGGCAAUUGCUAACAUGAUUCAGACAGACUUAAGAAUCGAUACGAGUGAGAAAAUCUCAUCGUAUUCAACACCUUGAACUUGUUGAAAACCUUUCGCAACAAGUCGAGCUUGGUAGAUAGUAACACUACUAUCAGUGUCCGUCUUCCUCUUGAAGAUCCAUUCAUUUAACAUGGCUUGCUGAUCAUCGAGCAAGUCAAUCAAAGUCCAUACUUUGUUCUCAUACAUGGAUCAUAUCUCAGAUUUUAUGGCCUCGAGCCAUUUCGCGGAAUCUGGGCUCAUCAUCGCUUCUUCAUAGUUCGUAGGUUCAUCAUGAUCUAGUAUCAUGACUUCCAGAAUAGGAUUACCGUACCAUUCUGGUGCGGAUCUUACUCUGGUUGAUCUACGAGGUUCAUCAGUAUCUUGAUCUGAAGUUUCAUGAUCAUUAUCAUUGGCUUCCUCACUAACUGGUGUAGGUGUCACUGAAACAGUUUUCUGUGAUGAACUACUUUCCAGUAAGGGAGCAGGUACAGUUACCUCGUCAAGUUCUACUUUCCUCCCACUCACUUCUUUCGAGAGAAACUCCUUCUCUAGAAAGGAUCCAUUCUUAGCAACGAAUGUCUUGCCUUCGGAUCUGUGAUAGAAGGUGUACCCAAUAGUCUCCUUUGGGUAUCCUAUGAAGACACAUUUCUCCGAUUUGGGUUCGAGCUUAUCAGGUUGAAGCUUUUUCACAUAAGCAUCGCAGCCCCAAACUUUAAGAAACGACAACUUUGGUUUCUUGCCAAACCACAGUUCAUAAGGCGUCGUCUCAACGGAUUUUGAUGGUGCCCUAUUUAACGUGAAUGCGGCCGUCUCUAAAGCAUAUCCCCAAAAUGAUAGCGGUAAAUCAGUAAGAGACAUCAUAGAUCGCACCAUAUCUAGUAAAGUACGAUUACGAUGUUCGGACACACCAUUACGCUGUGGUGUUCCGGGUGGCGUGAGUUGCGAAACUAUUCCACAGUUUUUCAAAUGUACACCAAACUCGUAACUCAAAUAUUCUCCUCCACGAUCAGAUCGUAGAAACUUUAUUUUCUUGUUACGAUGAUUUUCAACUUCACUCUGAAAUUCUUUGAAAUUUUCAAAUGUUUCAGACUUAUGUUUCAUUAAGUAGAUAUACCCAUAUCUGCUUAAAUCAUCUGUGAAGGUGAGAAAAUAACGAUAUCCGCCACGAGCCUCAGUAUUCAUCGGGCCACAUACAUCGGUAUGUAUGAUUUCCAACAAAUCUGUUGCUCUCUCCAUAGUACCGGAGAACGGUGUUUUAGUCAUCUUGCCCAUGAGGCACGGUUCGCAAGUACCAAGUGAUUCAUAAUCAAGUGGUUCCAAAAGUCCAUCAGUAUGGAGUUUCUUCAUGCGCUUUAUACCGAUAUGACCUAAACGACAGUGCCACAAAUAAGUUGCACUUUCAUUAUCAACUCUGCAUCUUUUGGCUUCAACAUUAUGAAUAUGUGUAUUACUACUAUCGAGAUCCAACAAACCAUUUUCAUUGGGUGUAUGACCAUAGAAGGUUUUAUUCAUGUAAACAGAACAACAAUUAUUCUCUAACUUACAUGAAUAACCGUAUUGCAAUAAACAUGAUCAAAUCAUAUUCAUGCUCAACGCAAACACCAAAUAACACUUAUUUAGGUUUAACACUAAUCCCAAAAGUAUAGGGAGUGUGCGAUGAUGAUCAUAUCAAUCUUGGAACUAUUUCCAACACACAUCGUCACUUCACCCUUUAACUAGUCUCUGUUUAUUCUGCAACUCCCGUUUCGAGUUACUAAUCUUAGCAACUGAACUAAUAUCAAAUACUGAGGGGUUGCUAUAAACACUAGUAACGUACACAUCAAUAACAUGUAUAUCAAAUAUACUUAUGUUCACUUUGCCAUCCUUCUUAUCCGCCAAUCACUUGGGGUAGUACCUCUUCCAGUGACCAGUCUCUUUGAAGUAGAAGCACUUAGUCUCAGGCUUAGGACCAGACUUGGGUUUCUUCACUUGAGCAGCAACUUGCUUGCCGUUCUUCUUGAAGUUCCCUUUCUUUCCCUUUGCCCUUUUCUUGAAACUAGUGAUCUUGUUAACCAUCAACACUUGAUGCUCUUUCUUGAUUUCUACCUUCGUUGAUUUCAGCAUCAUGAAGAGCUUGGGAAUCGUUUUCGUCAUCCCUUGCAUACUAUAGUUCAUCACGAAGUUCUAGUAACUUAGUGAUGGUGACUAGAGAAUUCUGUCAAUCACUAUCUUACCUGGAAGAUUAACUCCCACUUGAUUCAAGCGAUUGAAAUACCCAGACAAUCUGAGCACAUGCUCACUAGUUGAGCGAUUCUCCUCCAUCUUUUAGCUAUAGAACUUGUUGGAGACUUCAUAUCUCUCAACUCGGGUAUUUGCUUGAAAUAUUAACUUCAAUUCCUGGAACAUCUCAUAUGGUCCAUGACGUUCAAAACGUCUUUGAAGUCCCGAUUCUAAGCCGUUAAGCAUGGUGCACUAAACUAUCAAGUAGUCAUCAUCUUGAGCUAGCCAGACGUUCAUAACUUCUGCAUCUGCUCCUGCAAUAGGUCUGUCACCUAGCGGUGCAUUAAGGACAUAAUUCUUCUGUGCAGCACUGAGGAUAAACCUCAGAUCACGGAUCGAAUCCGCAUCAUUGCUACUAACAUUUUUCAACACAAUAUUCUCUAGGAACAUAUCAAAAUAAACAUAUGAAAGCAACAACGCGAGCUAUUGAUCUACAACAUAAUUUGCAAAAUACUACUAGGACUAAGUUCAUGAUAAAUUAAAGUUCAAUUAAUCAUAUUACUUAAGAACUCCCACUUAGAUAGACAUCCCUCUAAUCCUCUAAGUGAUCACGUGAUCCAAAUCAACUAAACCAUGUCCGAUCAUCACGUGAGAUGGAGUAGUUUCAAUGGUGAACAUCACUAUGUUGAUCAUAUCUACUAUAUGAUUCACGCUCGACCUUUCGGUCUCUGUGUUCCGAGGCCAUAUCUGUAUAUGCUAGGCUCGUCAAGUAUAACCUGAGUAUUCCGCGCGUGCAACUGUUUUGCACCCGUUGUAUUUGAACGUAGAGCCUAUCACACCCGAUCAUCACGUGGUGUCUCAGCACGACGAACUUUGGCAACGGUGCAUACUCAGGGAGAACACUUCUUGAUAAUUUAGUGAGAGAUCAUCUUAUAAUGCUACCAUCAAUAAAAGCAAGAUAAGAUGCAUAAAAAGAUAAACAUCACAUGCAAUCAAUAUAAGUGAUAUGAUAUGGCCAUCAUCAUCGUGUGCUUGUGAUCUCCAUCUCCGAAGCACCGUCAUGAUCACCAUCGUCACCGGCGCGACACCUUGAUCUCCAUCGUAGCAUCGUUGUCGUCUCGCCAAUCUUAUGCUUCCACGACUAUCACUACUGUUUAGUAAUAAAGUAAAGCAUUACAUCGCGAUUGCAUUGCAUACAAUAAAGCGACAACCAUAUGGCUCCUGCCAGUUGCCGAUAACUCGGUUACAAAACAUGAUCAUCUCAUACAAUAAAAUUCAGCAUCAUGCCUUGACCAUAUCACAUCACAACAUGCCCUGCAAAAACAAGUUAGACGUCCUCUACUUUGUUGUUGCAUGUUUUACGUGGCUGCUACGGGCUUAAGUAAGAACCAAUCUCACCUACGCAUCAAAACCACAACGAUAGUUUGUCAAAUAGACUCCGUUUUAACCUUCUCAAGGACCGGGCGUAGCCAUACUCGGUUCAACUAAAGUUGGAGAGACAGUCGCCCGCAAGCCAUCCAUGUGCAAAGCACGUCGAGGGAACCGGUCUCGCGUAAGCGUACGCGUAAGGUUGGUCCAGGUCGUCUCGUCCAACAAUACCGCCGAACCAAAGUAUGACAUGCUGGUAGGCAGUAUGACUUGUAUCGUCCACAACUCACUUGUGUUCUACUCGUGCAUAUAACAUCAACAUAAAUAACCUAGGCUCGGAUGCCACUGUUGGGUUUCGUAGUAAUUUCAAAAAAUUUCCUACGCACACGCAAGAUCAUGUGAAGCAUAGCAACGAGGGGAGAGUGUUGUCUACGUACCCAACGCAGACCAACUGCGGAAGCGAUGACACGACGUAGAGGAAGUAGUCGUACGUCUUCACGAUCCAACCGAUCAAGCACCGAAACUACGGCACCUCCGAGUUCGAGCACACGUUCAGCUCGAUGACGAUCCCCGGACUCCGAUCCAGCAAAGUGUCGGGGAAGAGUUCCGUCAGCACGACGGCGUGGUGACGAUCUUGAUGAACUACAGCAGCAGGGCUUCGCCUAAACUCCACUACAGUAUUAUCGAGGUAUAUGGUGGCAGGGGGCACCGCACACGACUAAGGAAUAGAUCACGUGGAUCAACUUGUGUGUAUAGAGGUGCCCCCUGCCUCCGUAUAUAAAGGAGGAGAGGAGGGGAGGCUGGCCGGCCAAGGAGGGGAGGCGCAGGAGAGUCCUACUCCCUCUAGGAGUAGGAUUCCCCCCAAUCCUAGUCCAACUAGGAUUCCUCGGAGGGGAAGGGAGAGAGGGGGGCCCGCAGCCACCUUGGGCUGCCCCUUUCUCCUUUCCACUAAGGCCCAUGAAGGCCCAUAUGGCUCCCGGGGGGUUCCGGUAACCCUCCCGGUACUCCGGUAAAAUCCCGAUUUCACCCGGAACACUUCCGAUGUCCAAACAUAGGCUUCCAAUAUAUCAAUCUUUACGUCUUGACCAUUUUGAGACUCCUCGUCAUGUCCGUGAUCACAUCCGGGACUCCGAACAACCUUCGGUACAUCAAAAUGCAUAAACUCAUAAUGUAACUGUCAUCGUAACCUUAAGCGUGCGGACCCUACGGGUUCGAGAACAAUGUAGACAUGACCGAGACACGUCUCCGGUCAAUAACCAAUAGCGGGACCUGGAUGCCCAUAUUGGCUCCUACAUAUUCUACGAAGAUCUUUAUCGGUCAGACCGCAUAACAACAUACGUUGUUCCCUUUGUCAUCGGUAUGUUACUUGCCCGAGAUUCGAUCGUCGGUAUCCAAUACCUAGUUCAAUCUCGUCACCGGCAAGUCUCUUUACUCGUUCUAUAAUGCAUCAUCCCGUAACCAACUCAUUGGUCACAUUGCUUGCAAGGCUUAUAAUGAUGUGCAUUACCGAGAGGGCCCAGAGAUACCUCUCCGACAAUCGGAGUGACAAAACCUAAUCUCGAAAUACGCCAACUCAACAUGUACCUUCGGAGACACCUGUAGUACUCCUUUAUAAUCACCCAGUUACGUUGUGACGUUUGGUAGUACCCAAAGUGUUCCUCCGGUAAACGGGAGUUGCAUAAUCUCAUAGUUACAGAAACAUGUAUAAGUCAUGAAGAAAGCAAUAGCAACAUACUAAACGAUCAAGUGCUAAGCUAACGGAAUGGGUGAAGUCAAUCACAUCAUUCUCCUAAUGAUGCGACCCCGUUAAUCAAAUGACAACUCUUUUGUCCAUGGCUAGGAAACAUAACCAUCUUUGAUAAACGAGCUAGUCAAGUAGAGGCAUACUAGUGACACUAUGUUUGUCUAUGUAUUCACACAUGUAUUAUGUUUCCGGUUAAUACAAUUCUAGCAUGAAUAAUAAACAUUUAUCAUGAAAUAAGGAAAUAAAUAAUAACUUUAUUGUUGCCUCUAGGGCAUAUUUCCUUCACCACGUGGCCCGGCCGGCCCCCGGGGCUCAAGAACCAGGUCCAAUGCCCCCAUUGGUCCCGGUUUUGGAUUGAACCGGGACUAAUGGGCUGGACCGGCCUGGACCAUCGCCCCCUUUUCUACUAGUGUUAGUGCAUGGUGGUUAGUGAAGUUAGUGGAGCAUGGUGUGAGUGCGUGGGUCAUGGUUGAGUGCCAGACUUUGUAUAAAUUGUCAUUUGAGUCAAUGAGAAAAUGUAAGGCCGAGAGGGCCAGUGCAAAGAUGUAGCAUUUGUGGUAGCCAAGGGAGAUUAACUGGGCAAAGCUAUGUGUUCUUCCUUGGUCUAUGCGUGUGUGUGUUCUGUGUGUGUUCUCUCUCUGCGUCCUUGUGUUCAUGGGAGUGUUUUUGAGAGAAGCCAGAAGAGAGAGUUGUGAGAGGCAGCUCGAGGUAGAAGAAGGAGCGGUGCUGCUCCGAGAGGAGGCGGCGCCAACAAUUAUUGACGAAAGGGAUAUUAUAUUGCGCAAGGUAUAAUCAGACGCGUCGGGGAUGGAGCGACUACACACAUAUGGGAUCACAACUGGAUUAUGAGGGAAAGCUAUAAGAGGCCAAUAAAUAAGUUAGUGCAGAUCCCCCCUCAGAAACAUUUUAUGUAUACACGUUAACAUUUCCCAGAUAUAUGAUUAAUAUUUUUAGAAAACUUCUAUUUUUUAUGUGUACUUUUUAUACAUUUUGUAAUAUCAGAAAUAGUUUUUAUAGAAGGUUUAACAUUUUUCAAAUACAUGAUUACCUUUUUGUAAACUUAUAUUGUUUGACGUUUACUUUUUUCCAUAGACAUAGUGAGGGGUUAUAUCUAAGGAAUAGGCCCAAGUACAUGUAGGCACAACCAAAGGCCCAUGUUAAUCAAGGAUGUUCCACAAGACAAAUGGGAAAACACACCGGGGCUAAUGGAGCUACAAGGCCAAGGCAUCGGAUACAAGGGGAGAGUCAACUGUGUACAGUCAGAUUACACAACCCUUAACAGACAAGACUCAUCAGUUGGUCCACUAUAGGAAUCAGGUCAUUUGCCGUCAGCCGAGAACAGAUGCGAAGGCUUUGCCGUGAGCAAGUUGACGACAAACACAAUCAGCAAAGACUAUAUCAGCAAAGAGCUAAUUUGACGUCAACUUUUCAUCGCGCUGAUGACAAAGACUUUGCCGUCAAUUAAACUAUGUGUUUGUCGUCUGUAGAAAAAACACAAAUGGCAAAGAAAUUAAACAAAUGGUCAUUUUAUAAUAAUUUUUCGAAAUGUAUAUAGUGUAUUUUAAAAUGUUAAAUAUGUAUCAAGAAUUAUUUCAUAAAUAUACAGAAGAUGUACAACGUGUAUGAAAAUUAUGUAGACAUCAGAACAUAUUAUAGAAAUGUUAAUCUUGUAUUUAAAAAUGUUAAAUACACAUAAAUAAAAAUGUUUUUGAUGUACAUAAAAAAAUUGUACAUCGUGUGUGAACAAAGUAUGCAUUGAAAAAAAAAUCUUGUUGGAAAGAAAAUCUCGUGCUAUAUACGAAAAUGUAAAAGGUGUAUGAAAAUAAUUAGAUAUAUGCUUAACGAAAAAAAGGAAAGAAGGCGCAAAAAAAUCCGAUCAACACCAAGAUAGGAACAAGAAAACCUGAAGAAGACCAUUGAAAAAAAAGAAAAGAAUACAAGAAAGAGGAAAAAAAACAAAAAAAUGAAGAAGCUGAUGCAGAACAGGGAACUUGGUGAAAACGAAUAAAAAUUGAUGAAAACCGAGAAGAAAAACAAGAAAACUGAAGCAAAAAAAUAAUAAAAAUAUGUAAAAAAAUGAUGAAACAUUGCAAAACACUGAAAUACUAUGAAAACCAAAGGAAGAAAAGACUCAAAAAGAAGAACAUACAGCGAGCGAAUGAACAACAACUGAGUGAACGAGCGACCAUGCGAGAACACGUUAAUUGUCCGGCCCAUACUUGUGGACUCCAGAGGCGAGCCAGAAUAGGCGAGAUAUAGCUAUGACGAUUUGAUACCCUUCACAGCUUCACGAAUGCUAUAUCUCGCUCACAGCGAAAGUAUAUUUUGUCUGGCCUGAAGGUGCAAGAAUAGCAUCAGGUCGCUGUAAGGUUUGUGAUCCUACAAUGAGAGCUCCGAUAAGAUUAAAGUUCAUUUUUCUGACAACCUUUGGUCGUUCGUUCGCGCUCAGGUCGUCCGCUCACUCGAUUCCACGUACUAGUUUGGUUAUGUUGUUUUUUUCAUUUUGUUCUUUUUUUGUUUCUUCACUGGCUUUCUUUGGUUUUUAUAUCGGUUUUCUUUGUUUCCUUCACGUUUUAUUCCUGUUUUCCUUUUUACUGGUUUAUUUAUUCCUUUUUUUCUUUGUUUCUUUCUUGGUUUUCUUUGUUUUUCUUUCUUUUGAUGUCAAUCUUUUUACAUACGCAUUCAACAAUUUCCGUAUACAUCAGAAACAUUUUAUGUAUACACAUUAACAUUUCCCAGAUAUAUGAUUAAUAUUUUUGGAAAACCUCUAUUUUUUAUGUGUACUUUUUGAUACAUUUUGUAUAUAUCAGAAAUAUUUUUUUAGAAGGUUUAACAUUUUUUUAAAUACAUGAUUACCUUUUUGUAAACUUAUAUUGUUUGACGUUUAUUUUUUUCCAUAGACAUAGUGAGGGGUUAUAUCUAAGGAAUAGGCCCAAGUACAUAUAUGGCACAACCAAAGACCCAUGUUAAUCAAGGAUGUGGUCCACAAAACAAAUGGGGAAACACACGGGGGCCAAUGGAGCUACAAGGCCAAAGCAUCGGAUAUAAGGGGAGAAUAAGUGUGUACAGUCGGAUUACACAACACUUGACAGACAAGACUCAUUAGUUGGUCCACUAUAGGAAUCGAGUAAUUUGCCGUCAGCCGAGAACAGACUCGAAGUCUUUGCCGUCAGCAAGUUGAUGACAAACACAGUGAGCAAAGACUAUAUCGGCAAAGAGCUAAUUUGACGUUAACUUUUCAUCCGCUGAUGACAAAGACUUUGCCGUCAAUUAAACUAUGUGUUUGUCGUCUGUAGAAAAAACACAAAUGGCAAAGAAAAGCAUCUUUGCCAUCAGCAACUGAUUCACAUGUGUCGUCAGCCAGACUCGUCUUGUCACUAGCCUCAAACAUCACAGAUGGCAAAGAUUUUUUUUUAUUUUUAAAAUUCCGCGUCGACCACCCUAUCGCUCGUGCAGCCACCGCCUGGCCGCGCUCGCCUCCCUGCUCACAUGCCCUGCCAGCUUGCGCCGUUGCCAUCCGGCAGCGCUCGCCCGACCCUGCUCAUCGCCCGGCCGAGCUCGCCCGCCCUGCUCGGUCGCGUCGUCGGCAGCUGCCCUGCUUGCACACGUACCUGCCCAGCCUUGCUCAUACCGCCGGCCACCCUGCUCGCUAGAGAAAGGAAGGCGAGAGAGGAGGCUCGGGGGAGAAAGAAAAAACAAAGGAGAGAGAGAGGAUGCUACCACUGCCACAUCACCAAUACGCAUGAUCGAUCUGCAAGAUGUGCUCUCUCUUUUGCCGCCUCUGAUGGCAAAGUAUGUCUUUAUCGUCUAUAAUAAGAUUACAAACAGCAAAGUGAGCUCUUUGCCGUCUGUAAAAAAACGGACGACAAACAAACUUUGUUGUCAGCUGCCGACGGCAAAAAGUGCUCUUUACCGCAGCCUCGAUGAGAAGCUGAAGGCAAAGUGCCCCACAGACGGCAAAUUAGUUGAUUCCUGGGUGGUUAUGAGCAAGACAGGAGCAAUAACCCUAUCUACACUCGGUCAUCUGGAAGACAGGAGUAGUCGAACCAUCUAUAGUCGGCUACAUCUGAGGUUACCGUGACCCUUACGAUGCAUUCAUUAUCGCCGUUACUCAAUGGAGUAGUUAAAUACGUCAGUUAGCAAUAAUAAUAGCCACGAACAGUCAAUCAUGCAUGUGACCAUCAAUAGCAUUUAUACCAACCCAUUACGGCACUUCCUCCUAGCACACUCUAUAUAAGCCAGGAGUAGGACAUGAGAGUGAGGGAUGAACUCUCUCACAGUAUAACCUACGCCAAGAGCAGGAACACCACAUGAAUAGAGAUUACCUCCACCAACGUACUCCCAUCCGUUUUAUGUACCGAUCAAUGUAUAUAAUGGCUUCUACAUUCACAUCCCGUAGUAUUGUCAGGAUUAUAUCCACGACAGAAACUAUAUUUUGUUAUACAUCAAGAACAUUUUAUAUAUAAAUAUUUACAAUUUUUUAAAUACAUGAUUAAUAUUUUUUCAAACAUAUAUUUUGUAUGUCUCCUUUUCAUAAUCUUUGAUCCCUGGAAGUUUCAGAUUUUUUCCGAUUUGUUCUCAUUUUUUUAUGAAUUUACUGUUCAUGAGGGUGUAGGGGCACCCAGGAGCUGUUAGGCAUAAUAUUUCUGCUGUUGUUGUCAUCAUCAAGGGGAAUGAGAAGGGUUGAAGUUUUCGUUUUCUUUGAGGGGGAAAUCAGAGUUGGGGGCUGGAAGUGAGUGAUUAGGCCCAACAUAAGCGCUGUGUGUGUGUGUCUCGUCACGGGCACCAAAUUCGAACUGGGCUAUUGUUUUCUGAGAACCCAACGUCACAAGCCCAACCAACAGUCUGCCGAUCUGCAUCUUCCUCUCCUUGUCCAUCCUCCUCGUUGGCCGGACCGCCUCGAGCCACGGCCGCUCCCUGGCGCAGCGUCCUCCCCUUCCUCUCCACCCCCAAAUUCUCUUGUAUCCUCUUCUGAUCUCCUUCCUUACUUCCUCUCGCUGAUGGUCUCCACAAGAAGGUCUCCGAGCUCCUCGGAGGGUUCCGGCUGUACGUCGACGCAGCCUCUCCGACCUCCCCAUGAACAUGAGCUAUCGACCCUGAAAGCCUGUCUCUUCCAUGAUUCGAUUCACAUGAAUUCACGAGCCGCAUGAAUCAUGAAGGUCAUGGAGCAGAAUUCAGUCGUGUAGCCUGACAGUGAUGUACAUUUGUGGCUUUUCUGGCUAAAUAGCUCUGUACCCUAUGUGGAUGCCACUUCAAAUAAUCGUCAAAAUAAUUCUCCUGCACGCGUUAUACAAAUGGCGAAGAAGAAGUUCGCGUGGAACAUUUCGUUUCUUAUUGAUGUCCGAGAGAAAAGCUCCUAGGAAGUUCAUCCGCUCGGUGGAUUAUAAGUUUAAGUUUGUUACAACAUCCAAUCAUCCAUAUAAUCUCUGUGUUUCUUCUGUUUUCUACCAGUCAUAUAUCAUAUGUGCAUCAGAGGAAAAAUGCUUUCAGCAGUCAUGUUGGAGCGCGCAUACCAAGUUCCCACAUUGCAAAUAUGAUCCUAGCCAUUAAUAUGUUUCAUUCCACAUUUUCUUGAUCUAAUUUCUAAAUGAUUGGACAACCUGUUAUAGUCUUAUAGAAUUAUGAGCCGCCAAAUCCACAUUUCUCUUGGUCUAAUUUCUAAAUGAUAAUGUGCAGCAUCUAUCUCCUGGUGAACCUUUUUUUCUUGCGACUGUAUCUCCUGAUGAACCUAGUUUUCUCUAGGUAGCACAAUAAUUGUACUGGUUUGAUGUAAAGGACAUAAAUACAAGGGAAUAAAUUGGAAGCUUAUUUCAAAUUAACUAGCUAGUGGUGUUUGUGAAGUUCAAGAAAAAGCUGGUCUUUUUCUCGACAAAUAAUUUAACAUGCAAAGAAUCAAUAAAUGUAUUUGCAAGAAAGCAAACAUAAUUAACGAUAAAACUGGUUUAUUGUCACUGUAGACAACGGUAGUAGUUGGAACUAGAUACAAACCAAUAAAAAACAAGAUCUCAAAUCUCCAACCAAUAAAGAGUUCAACCCAAAUUUUACAGUAACACCAUUAUAUUCAAAUAGUGAUUAUUCCAACACAUGGAUAAUUAAUUAAGGCACCAGGUUGCCCUUGUGACUAGGAAAGACAAACUUAUGAACUUGCAAGCAUGGCAAUCAGAUCGACAUCCACACAAUGCCAAUAUGAACAUUGUCUUGAUACAACUUUAUUUUUAUUUUAUUUCAGAAUUUAAACAACUAGUAUGGGCGGGUCACACACGACAUUGUGUGACACUUUAUUUGUCACCGCUGCAUCGACAUAUCCAUCGACUAAACAACGGUGAUCCAACUAUAUAUUACUAGAGACCUUUCCUUAUUAGUAGGAACCAACUCCGGUGCCAACACCGAAUGGCACACUAGUGGUGGUUCUAUACAACGGCACAUUGACACGGCACAUCGUUGGCAGGGUACGGAGCGCAAUGGAAGUCAUCACCUCAAGCUGAGCUAUCUGGUGUGGCUGCAAAAAGGUACCUUGUGCCAAUUGUUGUUGUUGAGGUUGUUGCCCGAGUUGUUGUUGUGACUGCUGUUGGGGUUGGGAAACACAUUGGCCCAACUGUUGGGGUUGCUGCUGAGGAGUUUGGAUGGAACCCUGAACCUGUUGUUGUUCUUGCAGGAUGAUGGAGUAGAUGAUAGCACGGAUUGCCUCAUAGCGGGAUUGCUGGGGGAUUUGCGGCAACUGCUGGCAACAUUGUUGUUGCAUCACAUGGCAACUGCUCUGCUGCAACAUUUGCGACCUAGCAAGACUUUGUGGCAUUGCCACAGGGCUGCAUUGCUGCUGGAGGAAUACCUUGCAUGGGUUUAGCUGCUGCAAGAUAGAUGGAUGAACAAAUGGUAUUUGUUGUUGCGGUAGAACUAGUUGUUGUUGUUGCUGCGAAAAUGGUGGUUGUUGCGGUAGACUUGGUUGUUGUUGUUGCAAAAAUGGUGGUUGUUGCUGUAGUACUAUUUGUUGUUGUUGCGAAAACGGUGAUUGUUGCUGUGAAAAUGGUGGUAGUUGUUGCUGUGAAAAUGAUGGUUGUUGCGGUAGAACUGGUUGUUGUUGCUGCGAAAAUGGUGGUUGUUGUUGUGAAAAUGGUGGUUGUUGUUGCUGCGAAAAUGGUGGUUGUUGUUGUGAAAANNNNNNNNNNNNNNNNNNNNNNNNNNNNNNNNNNNNNNNNNNNNNNNNNNNNNNNNNNNNNNNNNNNNNNNNNNNNNNNNNNNNNNNNNNNNNNNNNNNNNNNNNNNNNNNNNNNNNNNNNNNNNNNNNNNNNNNNNNNNNNNNNNNNNNNNNNNNNNNNNNNNNNNNNNNNNNNNNNNNNNNNNNNNNNNNNNNNNNNNNNNNUGGUUGUUGUUGCUGCGAUAAUGGUUGUUGUUGUUGCUGCGAAAAUGGUGGUUGUUGUUGUGAAAAUGGUGGUUGUUGUUGCUGCGAUAAUGGUUGUUGUUGUUGUUGCUGUGAACAUGGUUGCUGUUGUGAAAAUGGUUGUGGUUGUUGUUGGAUGGGUUGUUGUUGUUGGUGGUGCGAUAAUGUUUGUUGUGGUGGUAAUGGUUGUUGCUGCGAUGGUCUCUCCAAACCAGGGAUGUGGCUAUUCUCCAUUUGUGCAAUGGCACUUGUCGCCACAAUGGCGAGGAGAGCAAAGAUGAGGAAGGUCUUCAUGGUGGAUUGGUGUUAACCAGUGUUGCUUGGUUUUGAUGCUUGUGCUUGUGAUGAUCUUUAUACUUCAUGCCUAUUUAUAGUAGCC